This 61158-nucleotide long non-coding RNA is filed under the name Brassica rapa (field mustard). RNAcentral's name for it is "long non-coding RNA (BRAP_LNC005331)". Lineage: Eukaryota; Viridiplantae; Streptophyta; Magnoliopsida; Brassicales; Brassicaceae. The record is from RNAcentral.
UUUGAAGUUAUCAUCUUUUUAUUUCAGAAUGCGUUUUGGUGGAUGAAAGCGCUUAUUAGACGUUUGCUGCAUUUCUGAAAGACCCUAGAGACUUGGAACCUGAAGCCCUCAGAACGAAUUGGUGGUAGACUGCAGCAGUAGCAGCUCAGAUGAAUGGUCCCAACCAAAAGAUCCACUGUUCAAUUUUUUAAUCAUCAAAUCAAAGUUAGUUAGGAUGCAUGCUUGUCUUCCCUAAUAAACAAUUAAUAUAGGCCUUGUUCGUUUGCUCACCCAGGUGAUUCAUCUGGAUGAAGAUGCAAAUUGAUGUUCGUUUUAUGCAUUAUAAUGUUACAUCCAGAUGGAUCAUCCAUCUGAAUUUUUAAAAACUCAUCUCAAAUUCUCAUCCAAGUGAAGGUGAGUUUUGAUGGUGCAUCUGGAUGCAGAUGCAUCUAGUUCAGUAAUGAUAAAUGACAAAAAUGACCUUUUAAAAUCAAAAUAUUAUUUUUAAACCGUAAAUUCUAUUUUUUUGCAUAUACAUUUUUCUGCUAUAACCAAAAAAAUGCAUUUUCUCACAAAAACAGAAAAACACAUUUUCCCGCCAAAACCGCAAGAUGCGUUUUUCCGCAAAAAAAUAUAAAACACACAUUUUCAUAGAAACACAUUUUGUUUUUGUAUAUGUACCUGUUGUUUUAAUUUUUAUCCUUUAAUUAGUCACUCAAAUUAUCAGAGUGUAGCACAGCUCAAGUAUACCAAGAUCGACAACACAUCUCUCGAUAUAUAUCUGUUUCAAAAUUAAUAUUAUAAUCUGCAUUCGAACAAUAGUCCAUUUGGAGCUACAUGGUAUAGGUCAAAAAAUUUAUACUGUAAUGUCCGACUAUCUAUGAGAAACCAUUCUCCUCUAAAUAUGUUUUUUGUCUAAAGUCAUCAAUGAUGAUAAUUGAUGAACCACCAAUUAUAAGUAUGAAAAACUGGUUGGUGAUUUAAUUGGAACCUCUGGUCCUAUUUAAAUCUACAACUUUGCCUUCUCUCUUCUAUUAUAACUAUCAAUCUACUUCAACACCACGAAGUAUGCUACAAGAUAUUGCUUGAAGCAACAAAUCAUUCCACAAGCUCGUACGUUUCAUUUAAGAUUUUGAACAAAUGAGAAAUACCCAAGUUGUAACAUUUUGCGAGUUAAAUCUGUUGGUCAUCUUCAAAAUAAUCCGUUGGUUCUACUAUAUAGAUAGAUAAUAGUGAUUCUCCAGUUUUAUGUUUUGUUUCGGAAGUCUUGAAAACCUAAAUGAUAAGCUGUACGUAGCACCAGCUGAUGACGUUGAAGAAGAUAGGAAGGAAGAGCUAAGACUCUGAGAGAAAGAGAAGCUUCAACAAUUACUGAAAUCUGAAGAACGAACGAGAGAGUUACCAAUCUAUUAGCUUAAGAGUUCCAAUUGAUACUCGUAUUGUGAGAGAAUGAAAUCUUCAGGAGUCACUAGAGAUACAGUGUAUUGUGUGUGUUAUUCCUAAUCUUAAUGAUACUGAAGAAUGUAAAUGAAGAGGGAAGAGUUGCAUGAAAGCACGAUGCAAAGACAGUUCACAAUAAAACCAAAGAAGAUGAUAUCAAUUGCUCAACGAGAUAGUUUAGGAUGAUUAUGAAAUGAAUCCAAACAUUAUACUCAUGAAGUGAAAGUUUAGGAUUAACUACGAAAUGAUCCUUAUGCAGUAAACUACAAUACUUCUAGCCAACAAUAAGCAAACUACCAUAAUCCACCAAACAGAUCAAAGCAAUAGCAUAGAAAGACCAAAUCAACCUCACAUUCUGAUCAUUCAAGACACCGCGAUCGAUAAACUCAUUAUGGUUCUUGAAACAGAAACAAGAAAACACAACAACAAAUCCAAAACUGAGUCAUUCUAAUUGAGGAAAAAAAAAAGACAACAUUUUUUCGAUUCCUUAGUUCUCAGGAAUAUCAAUCUCACCCUCUUGAAUCUCCUGUUGAAGAUCCUUAGGGUCCUUCCCAUCAACAGUGCACCCAACAGAGACACAAGUCCCAAGAAUCUCCCUAACAGUCCCACUCAGCUCCUUAGCAAUAGAUCUAGGCCUCAUGAUCCUAGCGAUCUCAAUCACAUCAUCAAACGAAAUGUUACCAUUGUGCUUGAUGUUCUUCACCUUCUUACGGUCCCUCUCCGGCUCCUUCAAGGCCUUGAUGACAAGCGCCGCGGCAGAUGGAACCACCGUGACCUUAGCCUGACGAUUCUGAACCGUUAGCUUGACGGUGACGCGGAGCCCUUUCCACUCCUUGGCGGUCUCUUUGGCGAUGUCUUCUCCGAUCUUCUUGGGGGCGAGACCGAGGGGACCGAUCUUGGGAGCGAGGGAGCUGGCGGCUCCGACUUCUCCUCCGGUUACACGGACGUAGACGUCGACGAUCUGGCUCGGGUCCAACUUAGGAGGCAUGGUUGUGGAGUGUGGAGAGGCGCCGUCAAAUGAUUUCUUUUAGGGUUUUUUUUUUUUGAAGGAGAGGAGUGAUAGUUGUGGCGGAACCUAGUGUUUAUAUAUGAUGAUGUAGAUUAUUCGUGUAACGGCCCAGCCCAAAUAUAUAUAUGGGCCUAAUCUCACUAAAACAAAUAAAUGCAUAUUAGUUUUUUUUUUUUCUUUUACCAAUUGAUUUUGAUCCAUCAAACUGAAGAAUAUACGAGGGUGAAAAUCUAAAUCCGACGGAAACAAUUUAACAUCUCCAGAAGCAUAGCCUACAAAAGGAAAACUCAAACCCAAACAACAGGUGACAUACAAAAACUACUAUGAUCACUAGAUAAAUCUUCACUCUUGCAUUUAACCCCAAGACAAAUAAUCUUUUAUCUUCCUUGAGAAAGAGAUUAGAGAUAGGAUUUCUAGGCUUGGACGAGCCGGAUUACGUGCAGCGAACUGCACUAAAAAGAAACAGCGAUGCAAUGGCAUUACAACGGCACAAGAUUAAGAUUACAUGAACCUUCAGUUUUCGGUAUCAAACCAGAACACGAACUCGAGAGUCUAACACCAUACACCAACCAAGAAGCAACACACAAGCCUAGAAUUUAAGCUUCCUUCUCAACUGAUCCUUCAUCGGAGAACCUAACACCCUUAACCUUUUUAUAAUUUCUCAACUAACCGAAGCCACCAAGACAUGCAGAAGACAAUCUGGAAGAGACAAUUAUUUAAGGCCAGGAGAAAAACUCCAAAACACAGAAAUGGCAGCGACAACCGACAAGAACCUGGAUCUUCUCAAAGGUGUUAAACCUGUUCUGCUAACCCCACAUCACCACACCAACCAAACACUCAACACACCAUUAACACAACACUUCUUUCACCGUUGCUGUAAUCAAAAUUGCUGUAAUCAAAACCAAGAAGCAAAACACUAAAUCCAACAAGAAUGCCUCAGAACUGUCCUCUGCGUAUUAGUUAGAGCUGUCAUUCCGUUUAUAUAUUCUUUUUUUUUUUAAAUGCCAAGGAAUUGAACCGGAAAUAUUUUGGUUCGGUAUGGUUUGGAACUCGGGUUGUUAGAUUUUGUUUUAGGUGUUACUAUCUAUUCCAAAUUGAACCGAACCGAAGCAGUAGUUGCAGUUAAUAGAUUUGAACAAGUAACUGCUUGCUCCAGUUCCGUUGCGAUGUCGAGAAAGAAACUCCCCGUCGUCUUGCCUGAAACAGCUACAUCGGUACUUCGCCGUUCAGCGAGGGUAACGGUCUCCUCGAUUAUUCUCGAGCGGAGGAGGAUCUGUGGAAGUGGAACGUCGAGCUUCUUCUAGUGGGAGAGAAUCAGGUAACAGUGUUUUGAGUAGAUGUAGGUAGUGCGAGAUUAGCUUCAUCUGGGAAAUCAAAAUUGUUUAGGAGAUGGUGUGAGAUCGAUCAUCUAGGAAUAGAAGUAGAAGUCGUCUUCGUCCAAAGACUUAGCACAUGCUUAGAGAUUGUAAUGUUGUUGAUGGAGAAGAAAAAGUUAGUGUUUUGUCCUGUCCUGCUAAGGGGAAAAGGAUGAGAAUUGCAAAGGAUAGUGAGGAGAGGAGCUUAUUUGACAGUGAAGCCAAGCCCUCAUUUCUGGAGAAAGGUUUCUAAGAUGGUGCCUGGAAAGUCUGCUCAAGAAUGUUUCGAUAGGGUGAACUCUGAUCUCAUCACUCCUCGAUCAAGAGAGCCAGGAAGAAGACAAACUUACCACCACUUCCGCAGUUUUCACUCUCUGCAAGUAAACUACUACUAAAACCAAAUUCACCAAAGGCUAAUAAGAUACGUCACUCAGCGAAGAGGCAAUCUCUCAAAGAAAGCUAUCAGACAUUUACUUGAGAAGGAAAGUCAUAUGGAUUUGAUCUCUUCUCAGUUCUUGAGCCUGGCGCCACAACCGACUUUCUCUCAACUCCAGUGGAUGAAGGGCAGAGUCUUCCGAGAAUCGUUGAAAGUCCAAAAGAUCAAGCAAAGCUCGUUAGCCCUCCGGUGCUGAAACAGGUGAAAAACAAGGGGCAUUGCAUGACAAUUACAUUGAUCAACUGCAUAUGAGGGAAGCCAAAAGAAAAGCUGAGUCUACUAGACUGGUCAGGAAAGAGAACAUCAAUAAUCAGAAAAAGGAUUCGGUGAGAGCAGUUAAAGAUGCUCUUUUGUUUGAUGUACAAGAUGCUAUCCAGAACCUUAAGAAUCUAGAGACUGAGAACUCAACUUGUUCUUCAGAGUUCUGCUAUGAUUGUGGAGAUACUGACGAAGAAGAAUCAUUAAUCUCUAACCAUAUAAUGGCACAGAGCAUAGGAGAUUAGAGAGUCGUUACUGUGUUGCACACAGCAACUGCUUGUGUGAGUUUAGUUUAGUCCGAUGUUGUAUAGACAACAAAAGUUGAUUCUCUUUUAAUAGAAAGAUCAUAUUUUGAUUCCUUUUGUUUGAGAUAAAAAGGCCAAAAACAUUUAACUUCAUUAGUUAAGUUACAGAGGAACAUGAUUCAUUGAAACAUAAACAUUUCAGAGUUAAAGAGAAGUAAUAAAAUUUUCACAAAAUAUUUUUCUCCCUAAGUGGAAAUUUUCAGUUUACACCUCCUAAUCAAAAGUUUCUAAGAUCUUAAAAACCUGUUUACUUCCUGAAAGUAAGAUCUAUCUUGAAAUCUCCUGACAUUCAAUAAUUAUAGUUAUACGAUUAUAACGAUCCUCAGUCUUCAGAGGAGUAGCCAAUCCGCUCAAUCUCCCAGCAAAGCUUAGAUGCAACCCUUUCAUGGCAAGGUGAAUACUCCUGCAAACAGACAACAAUAACAACACAGUUUAUAUGUUUUCAAAACUUCAGAAACCAGUUUCUUUCUUUUGGUUCCAUCAUAUUGCUUUACCUCAAGCUUCUUUACAAGCUCCUUAGCACUGGGUGCAGAGAUUAUGAUCUGGCGUGCAUUGGGACUGAUGAAUCCUUCCUCAACAGCUUUGUCAAUGAAAGAGAGCAAAGAGUUGUAGUAUCCAUCAACAUUAAGCAAACCCACCUGCAUCAUAACAAUGAAGAUUAAUUUUUAAUGACUUGGGUUUGAAAUUAUCCACCAAAAUUUUGAAUCUUUACCGGUUUGUCAUGUAUCCCAAGUUGGGCCCAUGUUAUGACCUCCAACAGUUCUUCAAGUGUUCCAUACCCACCUGUAUAUUCAGAAGCAGAAAGAGAUUAUAAUCUCUAUACAUUAUUAUUACUAUUAUAUUAUUUGAUAAAUUCAAUGCCUCAUCCUGUUCUCUGACUCUCUGUUUUACAUAUGGACAUGAUCACAAAAGCAGGGUCUUAUUGAAGAACAAGACCUCCUUGUAUGGGCAAAACAUGCUUUUUCUAGGACUGUUUUAGGUUUUGUCUUUAUACAUGAAACAGGUAAUAAAAAAAUUAAAACUUUGGUCACAGUAACACUACCCAACAAGCUAUAUGGAGCAAGAGAUAUGUCUUAUUUUCAGUGCGAGAUGUGGAUGGGUCAAGGCUUCUUUAUCUAUUUUUUUUAAGAAAAAUUGUCCAUAUAAAAACUGAAAAUCAUAUACUUUUAAAAUUUCAAACUUAAGAGAAUGUAUACAGCUUGAAUUUGACGAAGAAAACAUGUUUUUACUAAUGUUUCCUCUUCCAUCUUCUUUGGCAAUAUACUAGUCAAAGAGUUAAAACCCUUUUCGGUGCUCUUUUUUUAAUCAGCAUUAUUAUUCUUCUUUUUAAUUGAUUUUGCACAAUUAAGAAAUUACAAAGUACAAAGCCUAAGAAGAUGCUUAUUAGAUCCUUAAACAAGGCUGUGUAACUAGACUGUGACAAGUUUUAUCUCACAUAAUCAUUACUUGUUUGGAGAACUGACAGAUACAAAAACAGAUGGGACUUUGAACAACUUCAAGAUUCAAGAAAGGUUUUUAAACUUCAAUACUAACCUGGUAAGGCAAUAAAAGCAUCAGAGUGUCUAGCCAUCUCUGCUUUUCUUUGAUGCAUAUCUGCAACUGCUCUUACUUCUCCUACUGUUUCACCGGUCAACUGCCAAAAAGAAAUCCCCCAUUUAACCAAUAAUCUUGAGACUUUCAAUAAAAUUAAAAGAAGGAAAGCAAAGUAGCUUUAGACUGUUCUAUCACAGAAGCAAUGAUGGCAUGUAAGCAAAUGGGAUUAUUUUAAAAUUCCUUAAAAGACUUAGCAAUCAAUCUCUCCAUCUCACUUUUUUCUAAGGCAACCAUACAAAACUACUGCUUUAUAUGAAAAAGGUUUGAUUUAAUGGAUAGGAAAUAUAAUAGUUAAAGAGGAUUCAAGAACCAAACUAAAAUAGUUUUAAGUUUUUUUUCUCUCAGGGUAGCAAGAAUACCUCUCUAGGCAUGAGUGUCUUGGGAAUAACUCUGCAGUAAAAUGAGAACAAAAAUGAGAAAAAUACACUUAUUAGUAUGUAUUAAUCUCAAGUCUCUGAUUACGUAACUGGUUGAAGAGUUUACCCAAUAACAUGACGGCCACCGUCAUGAACAGCUUGUGAAACCAAACCCAUCAAACCUAUGCUUCCACCUCCAUACACUAGAUCAAUGUUCCUUGAAACCUGCAAAGUCAAACAAAACGAAGAGAUGAAUCUUCUCAGUCAUUUUUUCUUACUACAGAUACGAUUGACUAAUGAGCUAUGAAGAAGAAUCAAAACCAAAGAUACUGCUAUUUGUACAAUCAUACAUAUGCAGACAUAAAAGAUAAAAUAAUAAAAAUGAAAAUGAAAAACUGAGCUAUCAAAGAAACACAAGUUUCACAUAUCAACAGUACUUUUAAAGGUUUUUGUACUUGUAGGUUAGUUCGCACAAAAAAAAAUUACAUGUAAGUUAUAUAACAUGUUAAGUGUUUGUUUGUAACAGAACAAAACAGAGGGCAUUUGGUAACCAGAGUAUGGAAGCUGUCAAGAGUAAACAUAGAUCGAGAUACGUAUGUAAUACCAAUUCGUUGCCUAAAUCCACAGCAGCAUCUUGGUAACUACUCUUCUUGCCUUGGCUGCUUCCACAGAACACACAGAUUCUUCCAAACUUUGACUUUUGCAUGGUUUCAGUGUUCACUUCCAUUGAUUAAGCAAAGAAAAAUCUAAUCUAUUUGCCCCAAAGAAAACAGAAAGUUAAAAAUAGUUUUUGGGUUUGCUUCAUAAACGAGAGUGGUACACACCGUACAAAUGUCAAAGAAGAAGCAUUAUAAAUACAGAGUGCGUCUUCUCGUCAUGCUUAUUUAUUUAUUCUUGGAAAAAUUUCAAUAUUUUUAUUAAAUAGUUUUCUUUGUAUUUUCGGAAAUUUUUCACGUGAGAAAAUUAAGCGCGCGCGUUGCAUCCACCAGCACUUACAAUUCAUGUUGGCACGCGUGGACCAUUUCCUUUUGUUUCUCGUUAUUUGUUUUUUCUCUUCCCUUUAUUUUUUUGUUUUAUUAGCUUUCCUCAUUUCCUUUUUUGACUAUUUUCUAAACAUAAAAGUACUGUAUGAAACAUCUUUGAUAUCUAAUAACUAACUCCAAUGAUUCUGGAACCAAAAAAAUCAAAAUGGUAUAGAUGUUUAGAGAACUUUGGUUGAAAGUUGUAUUAAAUAACAUAAACUAAAUAAGAAAUUGGUAUAGUAAUAAUGAAAGAUUACAUAUGAGAGAUGUUUAACAUAAAAAUAGUUACAUAAUACAAAAAGGAGUACAUAUAAGAGAUACAUUAAAUCUGUAGCACGAGUUUUAAUAAUCUUUUUUUAAUCAGAAAAUAAAGGCUGAUCAAAUCAUUUUUAUGUCUUCGACCAGUUCAAUGGCUUUCGAACCUCGGUGUUCUAUUUCUUUUUUAUAUUAGAGUUAUAAUCGAACCGAUCUUUGUUCUACUGAAUUUUUUGACCUCUUUCAUUUUGGUUUUUCUCGGUUCAGCUUGGAUCCGUGAAGAAGAGUUAUUAAAGCCAAAUCUUGGAUUUUUCGAGGCUUUCUUUUUUAUAGAUCUUUGAUGUUUGAUUAUGCAGGUUUCGCUUUUGUGGUGUGUGAUUUGUUCGUCUUCAUCCUAGAUCUUUGGAUGUUUCAUCAUUGCCUCUUACCCUCGGUUUCAAGUUUUUUUGGUGAUCUGUUAAUCUAAAUGUAUGGACGAGGUAUGGGUUCUGGUUCUUGAUUGCUUUGGUCAUGUAGAAGAGCAUGGUCCAUAUCCUUUUGAAGACUUGGUCAGUUUCGGUUUCUUUGGCUUUUCGAUGAAAGUAGUAAAUAGUGUUUUCGUUUUUUUUUCCUUUUUGUCAGUAGAUUGAGCGAGGAUUUAGCUCUUCUCAAGCUUAUUUUAUUGUUCCAUUUUAUCUGAUUUGUGUUGAAGCUAUUCAGAGUGUUGGGUCUUUUGGUUACCUAGCUUAGUAAAGAUCGGUUCUUUGGUCAUUGUCUCUCUGUGUUGAAGCUUUAGUUUUCAUGUGUUUGGGGUUUUGUCUCUGGAGGUCUACGAUCUACCGGCAUAUGUAUCUUAACAUUGUAUCUCACUUUGUAUAUUUCCAUGAAUGAAUUAAUGAAAUCGUUAGUGUUUAAGAAAAUAAGACAAAUCAAAGACUUAAUGUAAGUAAAUCUAAGAACCUAACGAAAAAAGCUCAAUGUAAAAUAUGAUGAAAAAUUAAUAAAUUUUUCUUUUCUUUUCAGUUUCUUUUUUUUUUGCUAAAUUAUGACAAAAAUCAUUUUUUUUUACUUUUACUCUUGGUGUUGUUGAUAAAGUGGAAAAAAUACUCUAAACUUUUCUCUUGGUUUGGCAGGUAAAAUAUAUUAACGCUGAUUACUGUUGCUUUUGUCAUUUUCCACCUUUUAUAUUUUCUUUUCAUUUACUUUAUUUUAUUUAUUCUCAUUUAUUUUUCUUGUUUACCAAUCACACUCAUAAUGAUAUCUAAAUUUGUUGUGUUAAAAAGAAUGAAGUGACAAAGGAAACAUCUUUAGAUUAAAUAAAGAGCAAUUCUUUCAAAUAGCAUUUUUUAAGUUUUUGUCAUAAAAAUAGUCCUUGAAAAUUUUAAUUUUAAUUUUUUAUUUUUUAAAAUUUGAAACUUUAUCCCCAAAACUCUAUCCAUUAACUCUAAACCUUAAGUCUAGAUUAGUUAAUCCUACGGUAAAUAUAUUUUUACCUUUUAAUAAAACUUACUUUGGUCAUUUUCUUCAUUGAAGGUUAUUUUUGUGAGGUUACUAAAAAAAUGUUAUUUCUGUGAAAAAAAUUUAAAAAAUGAUAUCCUAGGGAAUUUCUCUUAAAUAAACUGAUUAGAUAUAAAGCUGCUUCACUUUUUGAUUCCCUUUUAUAAGAAACAAAACAAAAUUUUCAUUUUUGAAGAUGAAAUUAGAAAUCAGAAUUUCACUAUCAUUUGUCUACAUAUAUCUGGAUUCUGGACAAAAAGAUGGGUCCAAACAUAAUUUACUUUAUCUCCCUAAUAUUUAAAUGAAAGUUUGAUCAAGUGAUGGGCGGAUAUGUAACAUAUGCACACACACACACACACACAUAUAUAUAUAUAUGUAUUGUAAACUCUUAGUGAUGAUAAUGUCUGGUUGUGGUUAUGGAGCACUGUGCUUGAUGAUUGAAAUACGAAACACAAAGUAAUCGAGUUAUGGUUUUUAUUCUCCGUGCUCUCAUUCACUCUCCCUAUGUAGUCAAACUCCUUAUUCUAUCUCUUUGUUCUAAGCAUCAAACAUAGAGUAUUUUCAUACCUUUCCCCUACCCUUUUUUUUUUUGUUUUACACAUAUCCUUGUUCAUGUGGAUAAGGGAUAUAUAACUCACGGCCAUGCAUCUACUCCACAUAUAUCUGCAAAAAGAGCACGCAUUGUAUAAUAUACAAAUAAUAAUCCAAUACAAUGAUAGAUAACACAAUACGAUAAUAUACUGAAGAUUUUAGUUAUGAAAUGGUACGCUCCACAGCUUAUUCAAUAGUAUGGACUAUGGAACUAAAUAGCUAUAUUAUUCAGUUAGCUAUUUAAAUGUUGUUUUCCGUGGACAGUUAACCCCAUUCUAUGAAGUAUAUACUUAUAUACGUGUGAUAACAAAUUACUCCUAUAAUAUUAAACUAAAAGGAAUUGCAAUCCCAAGAACUCAGUGAAACCUGCCCCAAUAGAUUAUAUGUUGUGGGUUUAGAGAUUAUAAACAUAUAAUUACUUCUUGAAGCCAUUAAUUUGUAUUUGUAUUUGCAUGCUUGCAUGCGUAUUUAACUCUUUUGUAUUGUUUUCUUAUUGUGCCCCCACAUUCCUCUUGGGUUUCUCACUUUCCAAGUUAACUUAAUAAUAAUCGACCAUGAUGAAUUUUUCAAACAACAUAAUUAGCUCAUUCUCGAUGUAUUCGACACCUAUUUGUUAUAUUUCAAAAGGCAAAUUAUUUAGAUAGCAUACAAAUUAUGACAAAGAUAGCAUACAAAGAGAUUUUUUUUCAAAAUAGUACUAACUGAAAGAUUAAUAACUAAAUUAUUCAAAACUCUAAACCUUUCCUAACCACUAAACCUUAAUCACCAGGGCCGAGUUAAGGUAUUAAUGAACCUUUGGGGAAAAAAAAUUAUUUAACUUUACAUGUAUCUAUAGACAAUUUAAAAAUUUUGGGUUCAUAUUCCCAAUUAUUUUUCAAAAAUUUAGACCUUUUUUAAUAUUAAUUUUGUUAAAAACUGUUUGAACCCCAGAGUCCAUGUUCCCUUUCUCCAUGCUCUAAGCCGUCCUUGUCAAUCACUAAACCCACAUUUAAAUAUAAAAUAAUAAUAAAUGAUCGGAAUAUCAUUUCCAGAAAACACUUGUAAAAUAUAUAGAGAUAUAGUCAGCUUAAAAUAGUGCUCUCACACUAUAACACAAGCUUGCUUCUACAUAUGAUUAAGUUAAAUAUGUCUAGAUUGAGUUGGUUAUGGAAUUGAUUUUUAUAUAAUAAAGACAAAAGGAUAUGAGUUUUAUUUUGUGCACAAAGGAAAAUGAGUUAAAAAGGAAGAAAAUGCCUAACUUGUAGGCAAGAAGGGUGGUGGAAGUAUGAUGGAGAAAGAGCAAAGUGGCAUUUAUUAUUUUUGUGUUCUUCAUUUUUGAGACAUAAUCUUCCAUUAGUUCACUUCAAUGUUCCUUCUCUGCUUUCGGUUAUUGCUAUGUCCUAUUUGUUUUUCACUUUCGUUCAUUUUUUUGUUUCCUUCUUAAGACCAAUGACGUUGAAGUUACUCUUCGUCACGUGACGUCCGCACAAUAUAUACAAGGUUUGAUAUUAAUUUAGCAUUAUCCUAUUAAUCUAUUGAUAAAAAGUUCUUUUUUAAUCUCAACCGUCAAAUAAAUCAAAAUUGCUUUAAACUAGUUAUUUUUAUAUAUACACAAAAUAUAUUAAAAACAUCAAUACAACUAGAGUUGCCAAAAAAAACAAUCAUUAAGGAUAUGACUGGUUUUCUCGAUACCAUCGGCAAACGCAGCUUUUGCGGUUUGUAGCGGUUGGUUGUUAUUUUUUUACAACAAUCAUCAAAACCGUUCUAAACCGUUCUAAACCUCAUAAAUUCAAAAGCUGUUCCAGUUAGCGUUUACGGUUGCGGGAAGAUAAGUAUAAAUACAAAAAUAAAAUAUUAAAUAAAAAUUUUAAAUACUAAAAUAUAUCUAUUAUAUUUUAAUUAAUAUUAUAAAAUUCUAAAAAUAAAAAUUAUUUUCUAUAAUUUUUAAAAUUUUAAAACUAUAACUUUUUUAAUAUAAUUUUUAUAUUUAUUAUAAUAUUAUUAUUUUUAAUAUUUUUAUAAUUAUAUAAAAUGUAAAUAUUGUUGAUUUAUUAUCUAACCGUUGUUGCAUUUGGUAGUUAGCCAGUCAUAAAUAUCCCGCAAACGCACCAAUUUCUAACCGCAGAACCAGUUGUACAAAUCUCUUAAGACCGCUUGAAAUCACAACUACACGCAUCCGCAAACUCCCUCAACCGCAACCGCUAGUCAUACCCUAAAUCACCGAUGUGCGUGGCCUAGUGGUUAAGCACAUGGGUCAGCCUUAUUUCGUUCCUAAGUCGAGUGAACUCGGUGAAAAAAAUAAAUAGAUUAAACAUGUUUCUGUUCAGUGGCCGAGUCACUUUAGAAUAUCUACAACCAAUUGCUAUUUCCACUUCUAAAUGUUAUAGUAGAAGAAAAGAUGUUCCAAUCCAUUUUUAUUUUUCUUUUAAAAUAAAAAUUACUAUUUUUUCUUCUAAAUAUGGAAGCAAAAAUAACAUUCUUCUAUUAAAGAGUCAUACUUUUUAUUUAUAAGAUAGUUCACUACUUUUUAGAACUUUUAUAGUUAUAACCAAAACAACUGUUUUUAGAAACACGGUUUUUAUAAACAUAGAAUCACACUUGUAUUUAUGUAAUAGUCUUUUACAAAAACAUUACUUAAAACAAAAUCAUAACUUAUGAAAUUUGUAAAAGUUAAAAAUACAUAAGAUUAAUUAUCAACUUUCAUAAAUUUAAAAUAUUUGUUUCAAAAUUUAAAUAAAAUAUUUUUGAGAAUAUUUAUUUUAGAGCUGAAAAUAGAAGAAUACAUUGAAAAGAAACACAUUUCAAUUUUAGAAUUGAUAUAUUUUAGAGAUAAAAAUAGGAAAAUACACCAAAGAUGGUCUUAUAGACUAAUAUCACACUAAUUGUUGUGGUCUGUUGGUAAAGAUCUUCUUUUAUGACCCUAUGUCUUGAGUUCAACUCUCUCAUAUAUCAUUUUAACUAUAUAUUAAAUGAAUAUUGACCCAUGUAAAACUUAAACUUAGCUCAGCCACUGUUUCUAUUUACAGCUAAAGAUUGGUUUUGGAGAGAGAGAGAUUAAGUCCAAAAAGCCUAACUCUUCUUGGAAUAACAAAGGAAAAAAAAAAACAAUCAAUAGAGAGGAAUGUAAAUGAAGGAAAUUUCCUAAAAACACUUUUGGUUUAUUACAAUUGAGUCGAUUGACAUAAGCCUGACAAAAAAGCAAAAAUACUCAGAGUAUGAUUAAUGAAGAUUUUUAGGAUGAGUUUUUUUAAAGCAUGUUUAUCUCUGAAAACGUGUUAGAGGUUCUUAAAUAAAGAAAAAUUAAUAUUAUAUAAAUUUAUUUAUUUUUCAUUUUUCAUUAUAGAAUAGAACCAAUUAAUAUAUGACACAUAUAUAUCUCAGAACUAGAAACGUUUUUUAAAUUGCUUAACUAAGAACCUUUUAGCUUUCUCUUUCUUAAUUUUCAUUUAUUUUAAUAAUUUUAUUCUAGAAAAUUGUGAUAAAAGACUACCGAUAAACAUGAUCUUAGCGGAAUAUAAGAACCCGUCUCUUAACUUUUAACUAAAAAAAUUAAGAAUCGGUUUAUACCGUCUCUUAACUUUUAACUAAAAAAACUAAAAACCGGCUCUUAAAUAAAAUGUAGUAAUGAAUUUUCGUAAUAUGUUGAUUUGCUGGUACUGUUAACGUCUAUGUUGUAGCGGUCGAACCGUUCACUUGUGAGUUUGUGAAGCCAUGCCACUCGACUGGUUGAAAAAAGUGUUACUAUUUACACUCAAAUGCGUCUACUAUCUGUGUUGUCCGUGGUCAAAGAUAAUCAAUCUUAGGCCCAUUUUCAUAAAACUGGGAUCGAAUGUGUGGUACAUAUAAAACCAGACCAUACAACAUUGUAUGGAUCCAACUGAUUACAAACGAAAAAUUUGUAAUGUUUUAGGAAAAUUGUUUACUUUUUCUUUCAAGAGAAGAAGAUAAAAAGCAUUGAAUAACGAACAGACCCUAGCCUGCACAGGUACUUGGGCUUUGCCCCCACCAUAAGGAUGAAAGAAAGAUUUAAUAUAUAAGAAAAAAACAAAGUCCAAAACCCUAGUCUGCAAAGAUAAAGGCAAAACAUUCAAAGCCCAAAACGAAUCAAAAGUGAAAUAAAGAAACAAAAGCCCAAAACAUAAAUAGCUUGUCGUCAGUCAAGAUGAGCUACACCUCCAGAACAUGAAGUUGCAUGCAUGUUCACUCAAAAUUGGCGCCUUGGUGGUCUAGCCUCAGCCUCCGAGACUCUAAUCUGUCUUCCAUCCAAAUCCUUUAUAGAAGCCCAACAAAAAAGUGUAUCAGACAGUGUUUGCUAACAAGUACUACUGAUCAAAACAAAAUGAUGAUUACUCACAGCUCCAUUCAAAGAACUGAUGGCUCUUGUGACCUCUUGAGGAGAGCCGAGUGUCACAAACCCAAAACCCUUGGAUCGACCAGUGUCCCUGUCGUAAAUGACCCUGGCCUCUACAACCUUUCCUUGCUCGCUAAACAAGCUCUCAAGAGCCAUGUCAUCCACACCCCACGAAAGGUUGCCCACAUAAACUCGGUCUGAUGAACCUGAUCCCGAACCUGACCCAGAACCGUAGCUGGAACGCUCAGAACCGUAACCAGAACGUCCUGAACGUUGAGAACCGUAACCGGAACGUUCAGAGCCGUAACUGGAACGUUCAGAACCGUAACCACCACUUCUUGGUCCUCUGGAGAAUGAUUCCUCCCUCUUAGGUGGAGGAGGGCCAGCGUUAACCCUCAAGGGUCUGCCUUCAAAUUCCUACAAUGUUCAUGUCCACAUCGUUAGCAAAAACAACCACAAUGCACAAAAUCUAAAAGAUCAAACUGCAAGAUACAAACAACAAGCCUGUACUGCAAAGAGACAAAGGCUCAACGACUGUCUCACCAACUCAAAUCCCCAAAUGACAAACAAGAACAAUCAUAUAAGUAACAUGAGAAACAGCAAUUCAUAAAACAUGAGAAAAAAAGAAAUCUGAGACACCAAAUAACAUUAUUAAACACAAGCCAAAGAACAAGAACAUACACAUACAAAGAUACUCUAUAAACAACAAAGCAAAGAAGAGGAGUAAUCUCCUUACAUAGCCAUUGAACUGUUGAGCUGCGGCCUCAACUUCCGCUGCAGUGGACAUAGUCACAAACCCAAAACCUCUGCUUCUGCCAGUAACUUUGUCAUAAAUAACCUACAAAGCCAACCCAUUUCAUCACAAUAUCAAAACAUCAUAUCAUCAAAAGACUCAGAACCCAUUUUCAAUAAACUAAUAAGCAAUCUCUACUUCAUCAGAAAACCUAUAAAGCACCAAACUUUUAGGAAGAGAAUCACUUCUUACCUCAACCAUCUCAACGGUACCGGCGCUCUCAAAGAGUUGAGCGAGCUGGGCGCUAUCGACAUCGAAGGAAAGGUUACCGACGAAGAGCUUGAGGUCAGCAGAGAAGGAGCUGCGCUCCUGCGGCGGGGAGGAGUCGUCGUCAGCGAACAUGUCGUCUUCCUCCACCUCGAAAUCGGAGGAGACGGCGACGUGUGUAACGAAACGAGAUGGGUAUUGGGCGGGUGAGGAGGAGCAUUUGACGGCGGAGAAAGAGAGGGAGUGGAGUUUAGGAUUUGGGAUUGAAGGAAGAGAGGGAAACGGAAGAAGCGGAGGCAGACAUGGCUAAAGGCUAAAGGCUAAAGCUUUAUCUCGUGAUGUGCUUUCGGAAAGGGGAUAAGGUUUAAGGGUUCUGCUACAGAUAAUAAAGGAGACGAGUUUUUGAUAUUUAUCCCCAAAAAUGAAUCUCUCUCUCUCUCUCUCUCUCUCUCUCUCUCUCUCUCUCUCUCUCUCCUCUCUCUCUCUCUCUCUCUCUCUCUCUCCUCUCUCCUCUCUCUCUCUCUCCUCUCCUCUCUCUCUCUCUCUCUCUCCUCUCUCCUCUCUCUCUCUCUCUCUCUUCUCUUCUCUCUCUCUCUCUCUCUCUCUCUCUCUCUCUCUCUCUCUCUCUCUCUCUCUCUCUCUCUCUCUCUCUCUCUCUCUCUCUCUCUCCUCUCUCUGAUCUCUCUCUCUCUCUCUCUCUCUCUCUCUCUCUCUCUCUCUCUCUCUCUCUCUCUCUCUCUCUCCUCUCUCUCUCUCUCUCUCUCUCUCUCUCUCUCUCUCUCUCUCUCUCUCUCUCUCUCUCUCUCUCUCUCUCUCCUCUCUCUCUCUCUCUCUCUCUCUCUCUCUCUCUCUCUCUCUCUCUCUCUCUCUCUCUCUCUCUCUCUCUCUCUCUCUCUCUCUCUCUCUCUCUCUCUCUCUCUCUCUCUCUCUCUUUUUCUCAUUUCGGUUAAAACGAGAAUAUCCCCCACUUGUAUAUUUGAUUUACUCUCUGUGACAAAAAAAAAAAAAAAGACAGAAAGCAUAUUUUGAUUUACUCUAAAAUUUGUGUUUUACAUACUAUAUUAUAUUAGUGUGAUAUAUUUCCAUAAAAGAAGAAAAAAAUACCAAAAAUAUAUUUCAAAAAAAUUUCCUAGGAUGAUUUUAAAUUUUUUUAAUCCUAAAUAUAGUUUUCAAAAGUCAAAAUGAACAAAAGAGAUUUCAUUAAACGACAAAUAAAUAUUUAUAUUUUAGGGUUAACUAAUUUAUAUUUUUAAGCACUUAGUAACAUAUUACAUCAUCGUAUAUUUCUAUUUUUUUUUAUGUAUUUAGGACAUAAUUUCGAGCUGUAUCCACAUAAAACUAGAAAUAGAGUUUAAGUGUGUUAUACUUAUACCAUUAGGAUUUUUUUAGCACCGGCGCUGAGAUUUCUUUUUUAACAGUAUUUUUUGUUCUUCAAUAUUAUGAUUUUAUUUUAGAUUUUUUUCUAUAAAUUUGCGGAAUAUUUUCGUUUUCCACCGGUUUUUGUAAUCGGAAAUAUACUCGUUUUGCUCUUUUUGUUGUUGUAAUGGUUACGCAGAUUUGUUAGACGGGUUCAAGAGUAAACUUUUAGAAAGAAUAUCUUCCGGAGCAGUUUUAACCAAAAAAAAAUUCUAUCUUUAUCUAGAAAACUUUUCUCGUGUAGGUAACAUAAGUGACUGCAGUUUGUUAUGAUGCUGGAAAGCAUUUCAGUUGUUAACAAGAGCAAAACAAGAUUAGCUAGAUGUCAAUGUAUUGUCAUCAUCCAACAAAUAUUCAGUCUGGAUUUCAUCAUUGAAUUAUCUUGUAAUUGUAAUUGUCAUAUCAUAUUUUUUGUCGGAUUAUAUUAUUUUGUCAAAAGUUUGUUUUGCCUUUCUUGAUACGAUGUACCAUAUCAACGGUUAUGUUAUUGUAUAAGCCUUAAGACAGUAAAAGUUUGUUAUACGAUUGGGCUCUAUACCAAAAACAUCUUUUUUUCUUGACCCAUUCAGCCACAUGGCCACGUAACUUGCAAGUCACAACAACCGUAGGGCCCAUGUAACCUUACGCCUCGCCUAAUCGCCUUGGAUUCAGCUCCUCUAUCUCUGCUGUCGGUCUAUCUAUUUUCCGGCUAACAAGAGAUCAUAGAAAGCAUAUCCUCCACCACGAGCAAAAAUCGAGCACGGUCGCGAAACUCUAACCCAGAAUCAUAAAUAUAUCAGAAAAGGAGAGACAGCCAGAAGAGAAGCAAAGAGAAAAACAGAGAGGAUGGGAGGACGAGCCUCCGGCACCGGGGCUCUCGUUAACCGACGCAGGAGCUAGAAAUGAGAGUUUUGUUUGUUGGAGAACUCGAGAGGAAAGAGAAAAAAUGGGUCGUUUGUUGUGGUGCGUACGUUUGACAUCAAACCCGACAAGUCCAAAGUUUAAAUUAGUUGGAGCCAUUAUCAUUGUCUCAUUCCUCCUUCUCUACACCAUUCUUGCUCCUGUCAAGUGAAAAUAGUUUCUUUUAGCUUUUUCUCAUUCACUGCAAAAGUCGAUUUGUUAUCGUGAUGGUGUAAGCAUUUAGAUCAGAUUCUGAAAGUGUCUCAACUGUAUAUACCAUUAUAUCUUUUACCAAGUAAGAUCAUUCGUUUCGCAUGCGAAGGUUUAUUUUGAUUGAUUUAUUUGAUGGUUCUUUACAAAAACAUUACCUGAUUUUGUAAAGAAAAUUUACAUGCAUGCAUGUUAAUAUUUAUGCAAUAAAUGGUUCGAUUUUCGGUCAGUUCGGUUCGGUAACAAACCAAAAAAACUUGGUUUACGUUUCGGUUAGUUCUGUUUUCUAAAAAAUUCAAACAGUACCAGUUUUAACCGAAAUUCCAAACUAAACUAACUUAAGUAACCAAAAUCCGAAUUGAAAUAACCAAACUAACCUAACUAACUAAAAUAACCAAACCGAACUAACCAAAAUCCAAACCAAAUUAACCGAACUAACCGAAAUUAACCAUUUUUUUUAAUUUUAUUCAAUUUAAUCUGAAAAUUUAACCGAACAAACCGAAAUCUUUAGUAAAAAAUUUUAAAACCGAACUACCCAAGAACUGAACCAAACCAAACUUUUUUACGGUGCAAUUUGGCAAAUUUUACCCGAAUCGUACUAUCUGAAAACCGAACUACCCAAACUACCAAAACCCUCAUGCCUAAGAUUUGGUCCAGUCCGUUAACUGUUAAUUUGUUUUAGGUUAGAAGUUCAUAAAAUUUAACAUGUGUGCUUUAAACAACAAUUGGAGUUGAACUCGCGUCCGCCAAUAUAUGUUUAUUUUAAAAGUUAACGUUUAGAAUAUAAAAUAAGCUAUAUGGAUAUAUGUUUUUCUAUCAAUUUUUGUUUUUAUAUAAUAUUAUUUUAAAUUUAUAUUCAGUGAAAUUUCUUUUGAUAAAACUGUACUAAUCAUAUAUCAACCAUUUCUUUUUUCGUUUGUUUAUUUAAUCAUAUAUAAACCACUCAUUUAAAAAUGGUAUAUUCUUUUAAGUAGAAGAAAUAAUGAAUAUAACCACAGGUUAAAAAGGUUUAUUCAUCCCCUCUGUACAGAAAAAAAAACAGAAUAUUUUAAUAACAAUAGACAGUAAUUGCAUAACAGAAAUAUAUUUAACUUUUAUUGGAAAUUUAGUUUAGAUGUAGAUUAAAUUUUGUUAGGAUAAUAUUAUAUACGAGUUAAUUUAGGAUAAUUGAUUAAGUUUCUAAUUAGUAGUACAACUAUGACUUUUCUACAGUAUUUUUAAUGAUUCUAUUUUAAUAGAAUAUAUAAAUAACAAUAUUUUUUAGAGAACUCGACUAAAAAUUAAAAAAAACAAAUUGAUUGUACUAGAGCUUGAAGUGUUUUUGGCCGUUGUUUGUUUAAGAUAAAUAUGCUCAUAGAGAUCCCGACAUAAAGCAAGUGAUCUAUGGCUUGAUCUUCUUCUUUUUUGGUCAAGUAUCUAUGGUUUAAUCUAAGUAUAAAAUAUUAUAAAGUUAUCUUCACAAGUAUUUUCUACUCUAUUUUUAAGAGAUGGUAGACAGUUGUUAAAAGGCGAUCUAAAUGAUAAUAAUAAGAAGUAGCCACUAUAUGAGUAUAUGUCUUAGUUAUAAAAGGAAAUGAUUUGAAGUAGUCGUUAGACGGAUUAAGGAAACGAUUUGAAGUAGUCGUUGUUUCCUCUGCACUAUAUGAAGUAAAUUUUUCAUUAUAAAAUCUCAUGCAGUAUUCUUACAAUAACUAGCCAAAACGAUAACAUCUAAGAUUUUUUGAGACAAAUAUUUUAAAGAUUUUUUUAAUAAUUUUAUUUUAAAGAUAUAUUAUAUAAAUUUCAAUCCAAAACGGGAAUGAAGUUCGAAUUACAACCCGGCCCCGCCGCGACUUGAUGAAACCUUACAAACAAAUUUGCCUUUCGUAGAAGUUAACCAUCAUAGUGAUCCCUCUUCGAUCAACGUGAAAUAUAAUUACAAUAAUGCUCACGAUCUUUACUAGUUAAUGAAAUGCGUAUGAUUUACUCCAACCUUAAGUUUAAUUUAGGAAAUCUUCGGUAAUACGUAUUUCACUAUGGUUCACUUUAUAAUAAAAUUACUCUAUCAUAGAAUGAAAUAAUGUUGUUUUUUAUUUUUUAUUAUUUUUAUAUUUCAUUAUAUUAUAGAAUAUAUCUAUAAUAAAGUGAACUAUUAGAGCAAAUCAAUACUAUUAAAACAGGAACAUGCCCCAUUGAUAAUAGUUGAGUCCAAAAAAAAAUCCUAUAAUAUAUACUUAUAAAAAUAAACCAUAAUAAUUUCUAACUAUAUCUAAAUAUAUAUUUUGUAACCACUACUUUAAUUCCUUAAUAGUAGGAACCCACUAACAAUAGCUAAAAUAAAACUGUCGACUGAUAUAAGUUUUGUAACAUAUAUUUCUUACAAGUCUACAAUCAUCUAUAGUAUGUAAUGCUAUAUCAUCUAUAAUAACAAAUAUGCUGUAUUACUGGGUGAUAGAAAAUAAUAUAAAAUAUUUUUUCGUACCAAUUAGUUAUACAGGUUUCUUGUGGAUUUUCUUUUAUUAUAUUUUGCAACAUAUAUAUACAGUGGACUAUCAUAAAAUCAUAAUAGAUAAUUGAUAAUAAAAAUAAACUAAUCCAAAUCGAACAAUUAGUUCUGUUAAUAGAUUCAUAAUCUACAAAUCAUAUCAUCUUUUUUUAUAAAAACUAAAAAUUUAACUUCCUGUUUAUAUUACAAACAUAUUCAUAAUAAUAUAACUAAAAAUGAUAAUUGACAGUUAUGUAUAGGUUCAACCAGUGGUUUAACUGGUAGGACGGAUUCUGAGUUUUAGCGGGUUUUAUUUAAUCUACAAAAUCAUAUCAUCUUUCUUUUUAUAAAACUAAAAAUUUAACUUCGUAAUUAGAAUACAAAAACAUUCUAAUAAUAUAACUUUAAAAAAUUAAUAAUUAAAAGUUAUGUAUUGAUUCAACCACUGGUUUAAUUGGUAGUCGGGUUCUAGGUUUUAGCGGGUUUUUGUAGGUUUUACUGUAUUAUUAAAUAAUAUUUUUUUCUUAAAACUCAAAUCGGAUUACAUACCGGAUCACCGGAUUUACCGAUUCAACCGCGGAUCUGGAUCGGAUUUCAAAACAUUGAGUACAUAUGUAUAGCUAUGCAAUAUUACAAAUUCAAUAUAAUUAUCAAAACCUCUUACUAAUAAUUUUUUAAAAAUGGUAUACAAAUAUGUGAUUACAAAAAACAUAAAAAUUAAAUUUCUAUAAAAAAUUAAAACAAAAAAAUAUACCCGCCCUUUCAAAGGACGGGUUAGAAUCUAGUUCAACCUUAAAUUACUUGAUUUUAAAAUAAAUAUAUAAAAAAUUAUUGUGUACCCAUUGGAGAUGAUGAGAGAUAAACAUUUGAAUAUACAUAAAUAAAAACAAGAAUGAAUUUUAACAUUUGGACCAAAAAAAUAAAAAUAUAAUGAAUUAAUGAGUUCAAUAAACAAAAAGGAGGAUUAGCUGAAAGAGGGCGUUGUCAUGCUUAUUCAUAGAGAUUAUUACUUUGAUUUUGUUGCCAACUUUUCUUUCAACAUCUUGUUAUGUCAUUGCUUUCAUCUUCCUUGUCUCUUGUUUGUUUAUUUGUAACAAGAUGCACACACACACACACACAUAUAUAUUUACACCAAAAAAUAAACAUAUGUAGAGAAAUCAUUUGCUCAUCUUAGAGCAUUCAAUUAUAUCAUAUGGUUUUUUACUGCAUUCGUUGCUGAUAAAUAUUUUGACAAUAAAUAAUAAUAAUUUAUUCUUAUUCAGUGAAGCUAGUGUUUAUGGAAUUUAUUGUUUGUAGAAAAAGAAUACACUAAUUGUAAUUUGAAGGAAUAACCAAAGAUUUGUACACAUGCACUAGCAAAGAUUGUCAUGAUAGGUAUAUAUCUAGUUUGAGCUUACAUAGUUUAGUAAAACCAAGAUUCAAAAAAUAUAUAAUUAUACUGACAUGGUAAGAUUGUGAUUUAAUUUCAAAAUCAAUACCAAGAAUCUUGGUUUUCAACCACAAAUUUGAAUCCAAACGGUACAGAACGUGACUGAUCUUAUUAAUAGUUUCCAAGUGGUUUCUUAUUAUUCUUGUAGUAAAAAUUAGCGGGUUUCAUGCUGCAUCUGUUGGUUGGAAAUGUCACAAUAAAAACAUACGUAUUCCAUUCUACAUAAAAUAACAAGUAAAUGUGUAUAUAUAUACAUAAGACUUUCUUAGAGGGGAAUCUAAAUUAUAUAGACAUUAAUCAUAACAUAUACUUGAAGAACGAGAAACGCAUGAAGACAUGGCCCAGAACCAUUCUCGAAUUAUCCAGGAAUAUAAAAUUGAUACUCAACCCUCCAUGAUCACAGCUGUUCACAAUAACUUUUUGAGUAUCACAGCAUGUGUUUUUAUUAUUAAUAUAUCUUUUGACCUUGGAAGUCGCAGAUCAUUUCAAGAACUAAGAAGAAAAGCUGAUGUAUUCACUUACAUCAUUGAAGCGUGUCAGUUUGAACAAUGUAUAAAUGUAUAACUAUAUAUAUAUCUGCAAGUCAAAACAGUUAGGCUUACCUAUCAAUUAGACUUUGAGUUUCUGAUAACAGAGAGCUCAAACUAAUUAAGCCACAGCCAUGGCUAAUAUGGCUGGAGCAGACGAGAUUGAGUCGUUGAGAGUGGAGCUUGCAGAGAUUGGAAGAAGCAUCAGAUCAUCGUUCCAUAGACACACCUCGAGUUUCAGAAGCGGCUCUUCAAGGUAUGAACCUGAUCAUGAUGGUGAGGGCAAUAAUACGAAUGCAGAGUAUGCUCUGCAAUGGGCUGAGAUCGAGAGAUUGCCAACCGUCAAACGCAUGAGAUCCUCUCUCCUUGAUGAUGGUGAUGAGUCCAUGGCCGAGAAAGGUAAAAGAGUCGUUGAUGUCACGAAGCUUGGAGCCAUGGAACGUCAUCUGAUGAUUGAGAAACUCAUCAAACACAUUGAGAAUGAUAAUCUCAAGUUGCUCAAGAAAAUCAGGAGAAGAAUAGACAGGUAAGUAAUAAUCUUUACCCUUUCGGAUUCUUGGAACUUUGAGAUUAAAACUGUGUUGUGCAGAGUUGGAAUGGAGUUACCGACCAUAGAAGUGAGGUAUGAGGGUUUAAAAGUGGAGGCAGAGUGCGAGAUUGUUGAAGGGAAGGCACUUCCAACACUGUGGAACACUGCUAAGCGUGUUUUGUCUGUGAGUAACAACUUCUGCACACCAAAAAGCUGUUGCUGUCUUAAUUCUGUGAGUGCUUUAAAGCCUCUGAGUUUGAAAUUUUUAUUGUAUUGAUUUUCUCCAGGAACUGGUGAAGCUCACUGGUGCAAAAACACGAGAAGCCAAGAUAAGCAUUCUUAAUGAUGUUAAUGGCAUUAUAAAACCAGGAAGGUUAGUAGUUGUCUUCUCACAAGUUAUGAUCAAAGCUUUGUGACAUCCAAGUGGGUUUAGUAAAUCUUCUUGCUCUUGCAGGUUAACACUGUUGCUUGGUCCUCCUGGAUGUGGAAAAACGACUUUGUUAAAGGCCUUAUCAGGAAACUUAGAAAACAAUCUAAAGGUUCAUAUAAUGAAAGCAGAUAGUUUUAGUGUUUUUAUUUCAAUCAAUUUCAUUUACUGCAGAUUUAUGAAGUGUAUGCCUUUUCUGUUUCCACAGUGUUCAGGUGAAAUCUCCUACAAUGGGCAUAGACUUGACGAGUUUGUUCCUCAGAAAACAUCCGCGUACAUAAGCCAAUAUGAUCUGCACAUUGCUGAGAUGACAGUGAGGGAGACAGUCGACUUCUCAGCUCGUUGUCAGGGUGUUGGAAGCCGAACAGGUAGGAUUCAUAAACCAACGACUCAAUGUCUCCUCAGAGUGCAUUAAGAAAAAUGUAUCAUAAUUCUUUCUUUUCCUGCGGAAACAGAAAUUAUGAUGGAAGUUAGUAAAAGAGAAAAGGAAGCAGGAAUCAUUCCUGACACAGAAGUGGAUGCUUACAUGAAAGUACAUUCCUCUAACACUCUCUUAUCCCUUGAGCCUAACCUUUAAGCUCUGUGGUUGAUUAUAACUUUUUGUUUCCUGUAGGCAAUAUCUGUUGAAGGACUUGAAAGAAGUCUGCAAACAGAUUACAUCUUGAAGGUAUUAUAGUCUCUUUGAUAGCUCGGCUGAAACUCUGCCCUUUCUUGUUUGGUUCUUAUGUCUUCUGUCGCAUUUGCAGAUUCUUGGACUCGACAUUUGCGCAGAAACAUUGAUUGGAGAUGUGAUGAGGAGAGGCAUAUCAGGGGGCCAAAAGAAACGUCUUACCACAGGUUAGUUUCAUAGCUUGGAACUUGCAAUAUUGUCAACUUUUGCUCAUGUACCUGAACCUCUUUUAACUUUUUGCAGCCGAGAUGAUCGUUGGUCCAACAAAGGCACUGUUUAUGGAUGAAAUAACAAACGGCUUAGACAGUUCCACGGCUUUUCAGAUUGUUAAAUCUCUUCAGCAGCUGGCUCACAUAUCAAACGCUACUGUUGUUGUUUCGCUUCUUCAACCUGCUCCAGAGUCCUUUGACCUCUUUGAUGACGUUAUGCUGAUGGCCAAGGGGAAAAUAGUGUAUCAUGGCCCACGCGGUGAGGUCCUGAACUUCUUUGAGGAGUGUGGAUUCCAAUGCCCUGAAAGGAAAGGUGUUGCAGACUAUCUCCAGGAGGUAAUAGCCAGAGCUUCGUUCCCUAAAGUGACCUUUUGUUUCAUGAGUUGUUGAUCCUCUCUUGUUCUGCUUCGAAGGUUAUAUCAAGAAAAGACCAAGCACAAUACUGGCGGCAUGAGGAUGUACCUUAUAGCUUUGUCUCGGUAGACAUGUUGUCGAAGAAAUUCAAGGACUUCAGCAUCGGGAAGAAGAUUGAGGACGCUCUAUCUAAGCCAUAUGAUAGAUCAAAAAGCCAUAAGGAUGCUCUUUCCUUCAGCGUGUACUCUCUACCAAACUGGGAGAUGUUCAUAGCUUGCAUAUCAAGAGAGUAUCUUCUCAUGAAGAGAAACUAUUUCGUCUAUAUAUUCAAGACGGGUCAGGUACAAUCUGAAGUUUUCAUUUCUCUCCUUCUGAUCUUCUUUCUAUGUUAAUACUAUUCCUGACCGUUCUAGCUUUAUGUAUGCAGCUUGUGAUGGCAGCAUUCAUCACUAUGACUGUGUUUAUCCGAACACGGAUGGGUAUUGAUAUCCUUCAUGGAAACUCUUACAUGAGUGCCCUCUUCUUCGCCGUCAUCAUUCUUCUUGUUGAUGGAUUCCCUGAGUUGGCUAUGACGGCUCAACGCUUAGCGGUGUUUUACAAACAGAAGCAGUUGUGUUUCUAUCCAGCAUGGGCUUAUGCAAUCCCUGCAACGGUGUUAAAGGUCCCACUGUCAUUACUGGAAUCUUUCGUUUGGACCGGCCUGACAUACUAUGUCAUUGGGUACACCCCUGAAGCUUCCAGGUGAGCUUUCCACUCCGCUGAUUGGAACUUAAACCCUAGAAACAUGUUCAUACAACUGUAGCAUGAUGAAGUUUAAUGUUCCAGGUUCUUCAAGCAGUUCAUUCUACUGUUUCUUGUUCACUUCACUUCGAUAUCCAUGUUUCGGUGCCUCGCUGCAAUCUUCCAGACAGUAGUUGCUUCAGUCACAGCUGGCAGUUUUGGUAUAUUAAUCACAUUUGUCUUUGCCGGUUUUGUCAUUCCACCACGUAAGACUUUGCCCCCAACCUUUGCCUCAAACGUUGUACCAUUCAAAGACGACUCUUAAGGUUUUGUGUUUGUUGCAGCUUCUAUGCCUGCAUGGCUCAAGUGGGGUUUCUGGGCGAAUCCUUUGAGUUACAGUGAGAUUGGGCUAUCGGUAAAUGAGUUUCUUGCUCCAAGGUGGAACCAGGUAAGUGUCUCUUAAUCACACAAGCUUCUUCUUUCCGUUCUUCAUGCUAAUCAGCUUGUUCUUGUUACAUCCCCAUUUGUAGAUACAACCAAGUACUAAUCUUACCUUAGGUAGAACCAUACUCGAAAGCCGUGGACUGAACUACGAUGGUUAUAUGUAUUGGGUAUCACUCUGUGCCUUGGUGGGUUUCACUGUGCUCUUCAACACAAUUUUCACUCUGGCGCUGACUUUCCUGAAAUGUAAGUCCAUCUUCUACUACACAAGUGUUAUGUUCUUUGAAACACAACAUAUACUUAAACUUCAUUUACCAAAACGACAGCACCAACAUCAUCACGAGCCAUGAUCUCACAAGAAAAACUCUCUGAGCUGCAAGGAACAGAAGAUACAACAGACUACUCUUCCAUCAAGAAAAAGACCACAGAUUCCCCUGUAAAAACAGAAGGUGAAAACCUUAUUGUCUGUCUACCCACUUCUCUCGUUCUACAUACUCUUCUCACUCAUACUCUGGCUUAACAACAGGCAAGAUGGUGUUACCUUUCAAGCCCCUCACUGUAACAUUUCAAGAACUAAACUACUUCGUUGACACUCCAGUGGUAAAACCAUCAUAACCAAUCACAUAAUGAUUCUUAAUUCUAUCUUCGAUAUGUUCUAAUGAUAAUCAUUCUCAGGAGAUGAGAGAGCAAGGAUAUGCUAACAAGAAGCUGCAACUACUCACAGACAUCACCGGAGCUUUCCGUCCGGGAAUCCUAACGGCGUUAAUGGGAGUGAGCGGAGCCGGAAAGACCACACUCCUCGACGUCCUAGCCGGAAGAAAAACGAGCGGAUACAUAGAAGGCGACAUCAGAAUCAGCGGCUUCCCUAAAGUCCAAGAAACGUUCGCCAGAGUCUCAGGCUACUGCGAACAAACAGAUAUUCACUCACCAAACAUCACCGUCGAAGAAUCCGUCAUCUACUCCGCUUGGCUCCGUCUCGCUCCUGAGAUCGAGUCCGCAACCAAAACCGUACGCAUCUCCUCCUUCUUCUUCUUCUUCCUUCUUCUUCCCCGCGCAAAUUCGACACCAAUCUCAACCCAAUCUUUACAGGAAUUCGUGAGGCAAGUGCUGGAGACGAUCGAGUUAGACGAGAUCAAGGAUGCGUUGGUGGGAGUCGCCGGAGAGAGCGGAUUAUCGACGGAGCAGAGGAAACGGCUUACGAUCGCGGUGGAGUUGGUGGCGAAUCCGUCGAUCAUCUUCAUGGACGAGCCUACGACGGGAUUGGAUGCAAGAGCAGCCGCCAUUGUUAUGAGAGCUGUGAAGAACGUAGCUGACACUGGACGAACCAUCGUCUGCACUAUUCAUCAGCCUAGCAUAGAUAUUUUCGAAGCUUUCGACGAGGUUAUUAAAUUGCAAAAUGUUCUCUUGAAAUUAUAUAUCUUUCGUAUUUGCCCCAAAUGUUUUUAACUUAUCUAAAGAAGUCUUAACAUUAACUUGAAUUUUCAGUUGGUCCUUCUCAAAAGAGGUGGUCGCAUGAUCUACACAGGACCACUAGGCCUAAACUCAUGUCAUAUUAUUGAGUAUUUUGAGGUAAGUUUCAUAGUUUUUUAAUGUAUGAUGUUCUUACCAAACAGAUUAAAAGUUUGUUUUUUAAAUGUUGUUGGGUUAUAAAAUAAUAGAAUGUUCCCGGAGUUCCUAAAAUAAGAGACAACCACAAUCCUGCAACAUGGAUGCUUGAUGUUAGUUCACAAUCUGCGGAAGUUGAACUUGGUGUCGAUUUCGCUAAAAUCUACCACGAAUCCCCUCUUUUCAAGUGAGUAGAUUUUCAAAUCUAUGCAUAAACCAAACCGUGUUGUACUAAAAACAGUUGUGAUUGUUUACAGGAGCAACUCAGAGCUUGUGAAACAGUUGAGCCAACCAGAUUCAGGGUCAAGUGAUUUACAGUUUAAAAGAACUUAUGCACAGAGCUGGUAUGGACAAUUCAAAUCCAUUUUGUGGAAGAUGAACUUGUCUUACUGGAGGAACCCUUCUUAUAACCUAAUGCGUUUGAUUCACACAUUAAUCUCUUCUUUGAUCUUCGGCGCACUCUUUUGGAAACAAGGCCAGAAAAUGUACGUAACUAUGACAUAUUAUUAGUUAAAUGAGUUUCCAGUCUAAAACAAAUUGGUUUAUAUUAAUUUAAAUUUGUUUAAAAUGUUCUAAUAUGUCAUAUAAACUUUAUGUGGUUUGUUUUGUUGCAGAGAUACUCAACAAAGUGUGUUCACUGUAGUUGGAGCGAUCUAUGGGGCUGUGCUUUUCUUAGGGAUUAACAAUUGUGCAUCAGCUCUUCGGAAUUUAGAAACAGAACGUAAUGUUAUGUACCGUGAAAGAUUUGCAGGAAUGUACUCAGCAACAGCUUAUGCAUUAGGUCAAGUUGUGACUGAGAUACCUUACUUGUUCAUACAAGCAGCCGAGUUUGUGAUCAUAACAUAUCCUAUGAUCGGUUUCUAUCCUUCGACCUACAAAGUCUUUUGGGCACUCUACUCUAUGUUCACUUCACUUCUCACUUACAACUAUCUCGCAAUGUUCCUCAUCUCCAUCACACCAAACUUCAUGGUUGCCUCGAUUCUUCAGUCCAUCUUCUUUGUUAACUUUAACCUCUUUUCCGGGUUCUUGAUUCCUGAAACGGUAUGAUCUUUUAUCUUAAACACGUUGAGUAUGUCAGAAGAACUUUUUUAUCUAAUAAUGUGUGUGUCUCUUGUGCAGCAAGUUCCAAGGUGGUGGAUUUGGUUAUAUUAUAUAACACCAACGUCAUGGACACUCAACGGGUUUUUCUCGGCUCAGUAUGAAAAUAUUCAUGAGGAGAUCAUUGUCUUUGGAGAAUCCACGACGGCUUCAAAAUUCUUAGAAGACUAUUUUGGAUUCCAUCAUGACCGUUUGGCAGUUACAGCAGUUGUUCAAAUCGCUUUUCCUAUUGCAUUGGCUUUGAUGUUUGCAUUCUUUGUUGGCAAACUCAAUUUCCAAAGAAGAUGAUGAUCUUGGCAACUUUCAUCUUCCUUUUAGUAUACAGUUUGUUUUGUUUCUUGUGAAAAUAAACAUAUAACUUGUUUUGUUGUUGUUGUAUUUGUAUAGCUUUAAUUUCUUUUAAUCAAAAUGUGGCUUGAGGAAUUCAUUCCUCUUUUUUUUUCUUCCAAAUAGAAGUGUUUUUAACCUUUUUUUUUAUUAAAGAUAAAAAAAACAGGCUCUUAACCUGAUCCCUAAACUCAUCAUGUGACAUGACACAUGAGUAAUGAAUUAGAUAAAAUUAAAAUAAAAAAAUAAACCAAGGUUUACAAAAAUAGUUAGACAUUAACAAGACGUUUUAUAUAUGAUUAGUGUUUAGCGGAUUAUUAGGGCUAAGACAUUAAUUUAUAUGUUUUAUUUGUUAUAUAUCUUUAUUUAUAUUACAUAAUUUUAAAUUUUUAUGGGUUUAAUUAAAAAAUAGCCUUGAUUAAAAUAAUCUGGAUAUAUUAGAAAAUAAGUUGUGAGCUUACAUUAAGAAACAAAAUUAGAUAAAAUUAUCAUUUGGUUAUAAACAAAUUGAUGGUGAAGACAAUAUAACUAAAUUAGUUAUAAUUCAAUCUAAAUUGAAUUUUAGAACAUUGAUGUAAACUAAUUAAGAGAUGAAGAAUAUUUAAAGAUGCAAAGAAAAUCAAAAAUUUUAUCACUGAAAUAUUUAUAUUUAGGAGGUGAUUGAUUGUAGCUGUAGAUGCUUUAGAAAACCAAAAUUUAGUUUAAAGUUAUAUAUGUUAACCAAUCAACUUUUUCUUUCUUUAAAAAAUUUACAAAAAAAAAGUCUUUAGAAAAUUAAAAAUAGCUGUAAAAAGCUUUAUUUUCAGAACAAAAAAUUAAUUUUUUAGAAAGGUACAUCAAUGAAAAUUACAUCAAAUAAAUCUACCGAUUAAGUUCUAUAGCAAAAAAAUAUAAAGUUAUAACUCUUACCAAUCGUCCCUUAGUUAGAAAAUAUAAAUGGAAACUUUAGUUAGUAUAUCUUUAUAAAAGGGCAAAUCUCCAAAAUAGCACAUUUCUAAGUUUAUAUCACAAAAAUAGCACUCAAAAACUAAAAUGACCAAAAUAGCAUUUUAUCUUUUGAAAAAUUUAAAUUUUUUUAGUUUUCAAAAUUUGAAAUCUUAUCCCAAAACCUCACUUCUCAACUCUAAACCCUAAAACCUAAACUCUAAACCCUAAAUUCUAAACCCUAAACCCCACCCCUUGAGUGCUAUUUUUAUGACUUUUGGCCUUUAGUGCUAGUUUGGGAACAAAAACUUUAUUUAGUGCUAUUUUGGUCUUUUUCUCUUUAUAAAAUUUAGUUCAAUAAAUCUGGUAUUCUAUUUCUACCUUUUGCUUAAAUAUAUUACUCAUAAGAUGGUUGGUUGAAUAAUUAAUUUUAGAAAUUCCAUUUGACCACAUUUAAAAAAAAUAUAAACCAGGAAAACCAAACCGGUCAACGGAAGAGGCUCGGUCUGUUCCUAACUUGUUCCUAUACGCUUUUCUCCAACGCCAUUGCCAAAAAGCUCGCGUGAGCUCGAUGCGUGUUGAUUGCAUCUAAGCCUUCUCCUAGCAAAAUCGAAAUCCUAACAACACACCUCCUCUCUUUUAAACAUUUGAUCGGUGCGAUUUCGUGAUGUCAAUCCGAAUCCCAUCGGCUUCUCGGGACUUUCGAGGUUUCGUAUUAUGUUUCAUCUUCCUCCGAUCUUUCCCAGGUAAAAAAAAAAAAACACAAUACUCUCACCGUUUGUAAAAUCUUAAUCUGAUGAUAAAGAGUUUCGAAUUGUAUUGUGAUGAUUCACAGGAACGAUACGAGCACAAGAAGUUACACUAGACACGAUUCAGAUCUUCACGACGCACGAGUGGUUCUCCACCACGCCUAUAGUUUAUUUCCAAUGCAAAAGAGAGAACAAGACGGUGCUUCCUGAUGUGAAGAUAACCAAUGUCUCUUACUCUUUCAAAGGCCAAGAAUCUUGGCAGGUUUGAAUUGUAGAUCAAUCAUGACAUACGUAGCUGGUUUCUUGCUUAUUUUGGAGGGUAUUAUUGUUUUAUUAUCACUUUAUUUGAGACAUAUGUUGUGUUUUGUUUUUUUUUUUAUAUAUGUUUUCAGCCACUAACUGGACUUAACGGAACAAAGUGCAAGAGAUGUGGAAUCUAUGAGGACGACACCUUCAAAUAUGAUACGUUUGAUGAAUGGGAGCUUUGUCCUUCUGAUUUCACAGCUGAAGGUAGAUACACACACGUCAAGGACAAGGAGUUCAAUGCUACUUUUCUCUGCCAUGGAUGCUCUCAACUCGGAUCUGGUGAGUUACUUCUUUCUCUGUUUGCUCUUGCUAUACAUUUGAAUCAUUUGAUUAGGAAUAUGACAUGCGCGUUUUGUUUUUGCAGGUUUGAAGGAAGGAGAUGGUUCUGAUAAGGAAGAAGGAAGGCGCGGAAUGCAUCCUGCAAUCAUUGUACUGAUUGUAUUACUUGUGUUAGGUGUGGUUACGGUGGGUCUUGUGGUUGGUUACAAGUAUUGGCGAAAGAAGAAGCGGCAACAAGAACAGGCCCGGUUUCUCAAGCUGUUCGAAGAUGGUGACGAAAUUGAGGACGAGCUUGGCCUUGAAAAUACCCUGUGAAGCUAAAGCUCAGUGUGGUCUAGUAACUGAGUUACUGCAACUCAAUGUCACCUCUGUGUACAUACACAGCUCCUUGAUCCCACGUACAUUUUGUUUUGGUCUCAAGUAGAGUGGAGAAAAAGGAAAUCACAGUGAUUAACAUAUACAAAGUUACAAACACAUGCAAAGACAAACUCGAUGCUGUUUACUUUUCUUUUAUGUCGUAAAUGUUUGGCAAUUAAAGAGGCUAAAGAAUUAGGUUGCCAAUUAAAUCAAUAAUUUUUAAAAAUAAAAAAUAUUUUUCAUUACCAAUUUUGAUUAAAAAGAAACAGAAUAUAAUAAGGAGCAUAAACACUCAAAGCUUUAUUCUUACAGGAGUCAACGACAAAUAAAUGUGUUGCAAAAAACAAAUGUAUGAAAGAUAACAUAGUUUGGAAGCUGUCUGAUGACACACCAACGAGCCAACAAAGAAAGUAAGUCAAGGAAGGAACAUCAUCAUCCAUUGAGACACAAUGAUAUGGCAUUGAGCUUUAACCUGUUGGGGGCAGUGAGACAUCAAGGUGACUCGCUGCCUUUAGGGGAAGAACGGUUAAGCUCAGGCUCAUCAUCAAUGGGACUCCUGUCUUGACCAUCAAGUCCAGCAGGACUUUCUUCACCUCCCACAAUGGGACUCACAGAGCUCUUACCAUUACCAUUCACCUUUGGGCUACCUUCAUAGUCUGAUCCUUCUUGCUUUUCCCGUUUUGGGCUUGCAUCUACGACCCUUCGCUCUGGACUCAUGCUUUGGUCUUUGCCUCUGGGAGAUACAGAUCGCUCCAUUGCCUUAGGACUGAGUGAUCUAUCUUCCACGCUUCUCUCUCUUCUCACUGGCGACCGUGAUCGGCUGGUCAAACAAAAGCGCAUCAACUAAUAAGAAAACACCUACAUAAUUAUCUAGUGCAUGCUUUUAAAGGCUUAAAUUUAAAACUAACCUGUAGCUACGACCACGGCUGUAACUACGGCUACGGCUUGGGCUUCUUCUGCGGCGAGGAGAGCGUGAUUUAACUGGUGACCUGGAGUAGCUUCCACCACCCCUGGAUAAUUACAAGCCAAAAGAACAUAAGAAAGAAUUGUUCAAAAACAAGGAUUUAAAAAAAUAACAAGUACCUGGCCUUCUUAGGACUAGCACUGUUCUUGCAGUUUCUCUCAAUGUGUCCUCUUUCACCACAGCGGUAACAUUUGUUCUUCCAGUCCCCUGCUGUGCAGUCCCGAGCCCAAUGACCAUCGACACCGCAGUUAAAACAGCGUCCAGAACCAGGAGGUGGACCUCUACUACCAUUAUCCCGAGCAUCCCGAGAACCACGAGGUGCCUAAACAUAAAUUAUUUGCAGGACAUCAUUAGUCAUUUACAUCAGACCAGUGGAUGAACCAAUGAUAUAGAUAUACAAAACAACUAACCCCUCUGGAAGCCUCCACAGUGAUGCGACUUCCAUCGAAGUCUCGUCCAUCAAGGUAAUGUCUAGCGUCAUCAGCAUCACGAGGAUCGCUAAAUUCCUGUUCUCAAAAUGUGAGGGGGAGAGAAUAUACAAAAGAGCAAACCCUGGGAUAAUUGUUAAAGGUGUUAUAAUUAAACUUACAACAAAGGCAUAAUCGCGCUUCAUAUCAACAUCUCGUACUCUGCGGAACCAGAAAAUCAAGGCCCCAUCAUUAUAUAAGGAACUUCCGUACACCAAAACACCAUUUGUGGCCAAGUAAAACAUGCAAUAAAUCAACCAACAAAAUCUCCAAUGCACCCCUCUAUACACCACACCAGGAGAGAGAGAAUAUCCACCAAUUACACCAAGUCCACAGUACACUCAUCUCCAGGUUAGGCAAACACCCCCAGAAACCUUCAACAACAUCAUUCAACUUGAGAAAGAAAAAACAAAACACUAAACCUAGAUCCAUAAAUGCACAGCUAUAAAAAUACUAGACAGAGAUGUAAACUCGCCCAUUGGAUUCUAGUGUUAACAUUGUGCACACAUCUCCCCCAAGAAGAAUCAUUACAGCUUCAUACCAAAGAAAAGAUGAUAAAUUUCAAACACCAAGAAACCAAAAAAAAAACAUCAUUCAAGGGAUAAAUUAUCAAGUCCACUAAAAGUAUGCAAUAAAUCAACAAAACACCAAAUCACCGAUGCACCCUCUAUAAAAAAAAUAAAGUUCACAACAAUACAACCCCCAAAGACACGAAAAUCAAAAUAAAUCGAUCAAGGCAGAUAAAAUUACCUUCCGUAUCUGCUGAAAAGACGCUCAAGGUCUCUGGUGCGAGUUCUAGAAGACAAGCGACCAACGUAAAGGCGAGUGUUUCCAUAUCGAUCAUCAAAGCGAGGCAUUCUCAAUCUGAAUCAUCCGUAAUCAUAAUUUAUACAAAUCUCUAAUCAAAUACUAUAUACAAUAGGACAAAGAUCGAUAAAGCGAAAACAAUUACACGAAUCUUCAUACCUGGAGAUGAUAACAGCGGAGGAGCGUACGAAAUCGCCGUAACCCUAAUACGGUUUCGAACAGAAGCAAGUGAACCGCGGACAAUGAUACUCUUUGAUCCCCUAUCCUAUAAAUGUUAGAAACCGACAAGAUUCGAUGUGGUCGUUUCAAUCAACGGUUCGGAUUUACACAGUUAAAAUAUUGGGCUUAAUAUUUACAUUUUUAAGCCCAUUAAAUGGAUAAUUUCGUUUUUUUUCCUGCAUCAUUUAAGGCAAGAUAAGAUUACUCGCUGACCAAAGACAUAGGGUUCCAAAACAUAAAUAAGGCAAUAUAAGAAUUAAUCGCUGACCAAAACUAGUGUUUUUUUUUAAAUUGGACUGGACCGGUCAAACUCAUUACUGUAUUAAAAACCGGAUUUGAAUAAGAUCUCAUCAAACCCCGAUUAAAAUUGGUCAAAUUUUGUUUAAAAUGAUUAUCUGAUUCAAUACCAACACUCUAGUGUUAAAAUUAAGAUUUUCAAAUUCAAACUAUUUUUAAAAAAAUAUUCAUAUUAUUAUUUUUUAAUAUUUAUAUAACUAAAUUAGCCUUAUAUUUUACAACUAUUUAAGGAGACGAAAAAACGAAAUUAUCAUUAUUACCUGACCAUAACUAAAUAAGGAAAGUUAAUAGAAGGAAAAGGAAAGAUCAAAUUAAACGAAAAGACUAUUUAAGGAGAAGAGAGAUCGUGAAUCCAAAAGUGUAGAAAACAGAGAUGACGUCAUCGUCUCUCCUCGAGCAAACUCGCUCCAGACACGAGGAGAUUGAAAGAUUGGAGCGGUUGAUCGUGGAAGAGCUACGAAAGACGACAGAACCGGCGUCCGGUAUGGAGAGAUUGGUCAAGGGACAUCGUGUACGUAACAUGGUACAGUCUAUCAUGCUUAAAACUAAUAAACUUGUUGAAACGUAUGAAGAUAAAGAUAGGACGAUGGAAACUGAGAUAGCAAUGCUUGGUGAAACAUAUUUGUUUUACCAUCGUUUGGAGGAGAUGCGUGAGUGUCAUAGGAAGCUUCAUCUUUCUGGGCAUCUUGUUGAUGAUAAUGAUGCUAGUGAGGACUAUAUAGCACUUGUGACAAAGGAAGUACCAGUUAUUGCGUUUAGUGAAGAGGAAGGCUUGACGUAUAAAGAGAUGGAAAAAGAACGUGAGAGGGAUCAGGAAGCUUAUGCCAAAUCAAGAGUUUACCAUCCGCAUUGGCUCAAGAAUCUUCGUGAACUUCAGCAUGAGUUUAAAUGUGAGAUAUGUGGGAACCAGAGCUAUAAAGGAAGAAGAAGCUUCAAGAUGCAUUUUAAAGAAGCGCAACACCAACGGGGUAUGCGUCUCUUGGGAAUCCCAAGCACAAACAGUCUUAAAGAAGUCACUACGAUUGAUGAAGCAGAGGAAUUAUGGAGGAGGAUAAAGUGGCAAGGAAUGUGCAUAUGGAGGCCAGAACUUGAAGAAUAAGUACAUGAAGACGGUUAAGGUAACUGAAUCUCUCUAAGCGACUUCCGUAACCGAAUCUUGAAUGAAGACGAAGGCAAAUGUCUCCAAGUGAGUCACACAAAGAAUAGUCUCUUUUUAUUGAUCAGCUCAGCUAAGUCUUUUAUUAUUCACCAAGAUGCAAAUUACUGUGUAUAAGUAUUAGCUAAUACUAUUUUUUAUAGUUACAAUGAUACUAAUCCGAUUUUUUUGUGUCCGUUUAGUAACUUUGAUUUAGUUGAUGUGAACGGUAGAAGAAAAGGGUGCAAGAGAAAGGUAGAGCUAAGUGAUUGCUCUGGCAACGCAACCAUGAAUAAUUUGGAUCACACCAGGUAAUUACAGACCUAGUUGACCAUUUUCUAACUAAUAAAAGCCCCAUUGUUUCCAAGAUUAUAUUGCUUAUUGCGCUUUAACAUAUUAGAACAAAACAGCAUUUGAAGUUACUUAUUUUUAUUAAUGUUUGUUUCUACAAUCAUAGAAUGUCUUCUUUUACUGACGAUUGAUUGAUAACAUUUUGUUCACUAAUGAUUGAAAAUAAAAAGUUAAAACUGAGCAGUGGUUUGAAAGUGGAAAAAUGUUUAAUUUCGAAUGCAAAUAGUUAAUGAACAAGAGUCAGGCUCGGUGAUGCUUACCAGGUCCCAUAUGAGCCAUUAAGAGCCAAACAAAGCUUACAAUCUCGCCACCUUUACUAAGGUGAGCGGCGUGUUGUUUAGACUCACAGUGAUUUGCUGCAUAGUAAAGCAACUCAACCCACACUCUGCUCACUACUCCCCAAAUGCUUCGUCCCCCUGAUCCUCUCUCAAGUUUCUUAAGCUCCUUUGCAAGCUGGCGCGCAUCUUCCAUUGCAGUAGACAGUAGUAUCAAACAUGCAAUAAAAUAUAUGUUCCAUAAAGUUUUUAGAAUUAAUUAAUUUUUUUAUAAAACAUAAAAAUUUAGAAAAUUUGUAGCCUUUAUAAAUACUUUAUAUUUAUUUCUUAAUUUAUUACCUUUAUAAGUAAUUUUAUAAAUGAAAGUAUUAAAUUAUAUGUUAAAAUAAUAAUUAUAUAAAUUGAACAUUUACAACUCUAUAUUUAAUUGUAGAUAUAUUUUGAUUUGUCUUAGAAACGGAGCGGAGCGGAUAUCCGACCCUGAAUUUUUUGGUAUUUGUGAUUUGCUUCGUUUUUAACAGAUAUCGAUUUUUAAUAUUUGCUUUGCUACGAAGAAUAUCCUGAUUUUUGGAUUGAAUCGAAACGAAUAACGAAUUGUAUCAAAUUUAACGGAUUAAAUACCAGCCCUAUAUCAGUUGUUUCCACUAUGAGUGUUUAUUGGAAUCAAUAGCUUUAUAAUUUCCCAUAUGCAUUAACUUUUUACCUUAAGCUAGCUAAAAUUUGAAACUUGUAUUUAAAGUCUUUCAUUUAUACUCCUUUCUCUAUCUUCGUUUUACCUCUUCUGAACAAAGACUGAUCGGUCGAAUUAAAUACGCAAAAAAAAACAUUUGAAUAUAUCCAAGAGAUAAUAAAUGUAAUGUAGUACAUAAAUAGUUAAUAGUGACAUUUCAACUUCUAAUGUGUGUUUUUAUGUGGACAAUACAAGAGCCUUUCUACUCAACUCUUUGUUACUCUGACCUUACACUCAUGUGACACACUGACGCAUCUAUAUUAUUAAAGUUGAAGUACACAUUGAGAUUGUUUGGUAAUAUGGAUAGUAAUUAAAAAAAAAAGUAUUGUUUGGAAACAUGGAUAGUAGUAAGUUAGGAAAAAAAAUAAUGGGCUUAUAUACUACUAAAAAUUAGAAAUCUAUUACAUUAUAUUAAAAAGUAAUGGGUCUAUGUUAUUUGAUAUAUAACAUAUUCAAAUCAAAAUAAUAAUUUAAAAUUGAUUUAUAUCAAAAUAAUUGGCAAAAUAAUAUAUUCAUUAAAUUUAUUCAUAUAUAUAUAUAUAUAUUCAAAAUUUGAUUUUUACUAACAUAUUUUCUAAUAACUAUUAUAAAAAUGUUUUCAAUAUAUAUAAGAAAAAUACAAUACAAAGCUCAAUUUCAAACACCAACUUAAAUUAUGGUUUUUAUAUUUCACAUUAAAUUUUAAAAUAUAAUAUAUGUGAUUAUUUAUAUGAUUGUACGUAUAAAAUAUUAUUAAUUAUAAGAAAACAUAUUUGAUGGUAUAGAUAAAAUACGAUUAAUUAUAUGAUAACACAUAUUUUGUAACCUACGAUGACAUAUAUAGGAUAUAUAUAUAUAUAUAAUAGUGAUUAGGGGUGGGCGUUCGGGUUCGUUUUCGGGUCUUUUUGGGAUUUCGUGUUAAGUUCAGAUCUUUAAGGAUUUGGUUCGGAUUUGGAUAACCAAUUUAAAUAGGUUUGGUUUAAAUAUUUUGAUAGAGAAUUAAUAAUUAUUUAAGUAUUUUUGGAGUUUUGAGUAUAUUUUAACUAUUUAAGAUAUUUACGUUUGAUUAUUUGUAUAUAUUUUCAAGCAUUUAAGCGAACUUAAAAGUUUACAUCAUAUAUAUAAGUAUUUAAGCGAACUUAGAAGUUUACAUCAUAUUUUCAAGCAUUUAAGCGAACUUAAAAAUUUACAUCAUAUAUUAAAGUAUUUACGUUUGAUUGUUUGUAUAUAUUUACAUCAUAUAUAUUCUGGAUAUUUUUAUAUAUAUUAAAUCUAAAAAUAAUUAAUAUAUAUAAGUAUAUAAAUCUAUUUUGGAUACCCAAAAUACUUCGGUUCGGAUCGGAUCGGAUUAGAUUUCAGUUCUUCAAAAACCAAAAUUUUGAAUAAUUCGGAUAUUUAAUCAAUUUCGGUUCAGAUUUAGUACUACUUAUUCGGAUUGGGAUCGGUUCAAUUCUUUGAAUUCGAGUUUUUUGCCCAAUCCUAAAUAGUGACACAAAAAUCAAAUAGCAUCAUAUUUUUUUAAAAAAUACACCCGCACGGGCGUGCGGGUCAAAAACUAGUUAUCAAUUACACACACAUACAUUUAUAACGUAAUAUGUCUGUUUCUAUAUAUUAAUGAGCUUUUGCUUCUGCUAAGUUUCUAUCCAAUAUGUUUUGUGCAUCGCAAGCAUCGACGGCUACCGCUAGCCAUGACGAACGGAGCGUUGCAGCUCGAGCCAUCGACCGUCAUAAUCCCAUUAUCAAAGAUGGUCGGAGAUCUUUCACGGCACCUUGCUCUUCCGGCGACGACUACAUUGCACCAUACCGUCAGCUUUCGAAAGUUACGAGGAUACCCUCCACCUCCGGUGAAGGGAAGAUGAUUCAGGUGGUGGAGAAAGGAAGAAAGAGCACUUCAGGGUCGUUGCUGAAGCUCAGUGAUAACAUCAGCUUAGCGAGGAAGAGUUUUGGAUGUGUUGCGGGACCUGCGUGUGACGUUACUGAAAGCACACCUCCUGGUUCUACUAGGUAUCUUCUUGGAUCCGAACCGGUUUCUUCGGGUAAGGAUACGGUUGUAACGGAGGAGGGUGAACCUUCUUUGGCGAAGAGAGGCACUGGUGCUGCCGACGAAGAUAAGAAGAAGACUUCUUCUGGUUCAGACCAGGCAAGUAAAGUAAAGUUUGUCGUUUACUGUACAAUGAGUGGUAUGAAUGUAAGAAAAAGAGAGACAUGAGGGUUGGUUUUGUCUUUUUGGAUGUAGGUGGUUGUUCUUAGAGUGUCUCUUCACUGUCAUUGCAGAGGCUGUCAAGGCAAAGUGAAGAAACAUUUAUCUAGAAUGCAAGGUCAGUCUCUUUUUUUUUUCUUGCUUUUUGUUAUCAGCAAAUAUGCAUACUUUACUUAGCGAAGUCUUGUCUUUUAGUAUAAUAGAUCUACCAAACUAUAAGCAAGCUAGUUUUGGUUUUAGUCUUAGAUUGGAGGAUACAUGACUUGUACGUACACUUGUAACCCACAUGGGAGAUGCACAUCUCUUGGAACCGGUUUAAGUAUCACUUAGAGAAGAAACAUUCGUCUUGACCCCCAAAAUUGAAGUGGUUACUAUAUAGUAUUUGAUCAUUUAAUCCUCAGUCCGUAAAACUCUAUAAAUAUAAGUACCGUUGCUUAAUUAUUAUAGUUUUUGGCAAUACGUAGGUGUGACAUCUUUCAGCAUAGAUUUUGCAUCAAAGAAGGUAACUGUGACUGGAGACGUCACUCCCUUGGAAGUACUAGGCUGCCUCUCAAAGGUCAAAAAUGCCCAAUUCUGGACACCACCUCCUCCACCUCCAUCAUCACUCCCAAGGGCAACUCUUGAAAACUAAAAACCACACUCAUUAUUGUAUUUCUAUUUCUCUUUCUCCCAUUUGUUUGAAUCAAAUCAAUGGUAAAGGUUUAGACUUAACCUACUUCAUUUUCAUUGUUCAUUAAGAAAGACCAAAACUUCCAGAUGAUGAUUGAUGCUUGUUUAUUCAUUACCUAAUGUGAUGAAACUAUCAUUACAUAUUACAUUUGUCUUUUUUUUUUUUUGAAACAGUAUGCAAAAUAGAGAUAAUAUUUAACAUUCUAGAAGAUUGCAUCUACUACAAGCUCUGCUAUGAGUUCAUCUGUCAGCAUUUUCUCAAUAUCUCUACCUAUGAUUUCAAUGUCAUCUUCCAAACUCAGCCACUCAAACUCCCUCUUCUCCACAUCAUCUUUCCUUGGUUUCUCCUCUUUUCUUGUCACCAAAUCGAGCAGAGUCUCUUCUAUCUUGUUCACAUCCCAUUUCUGGCAAACCCUUGUGGGUUUAACCCAAGGGUGUGGAUCCGGAAACUGCUUUAGUAUCUGCAUUAGCUCUCUGCUGAUCUGAUCAAAUAGAAACUUUCUUUCUAACCGGGUUGAGGUUUUCAAGCUGGAGUACUUCUUCUCAAGAUCCUGAAACAAGGAUGGAUCCACAGGUGUUUCCAUGACAGUGUUGUGGCCUGCGUUGCUCAACUUGGAGUUAUCUAGGAGAUCAGCUAAGUAUAGUGACUUCCAGUCCUCUUGGCUGAUCACAAUCUCAUCAGUUAUAUUUGACGACUCCUCUUGUUCUUUGUCUUCAUCACUCGAAAUAAGCAUUCCACCUUCAUUGUAAGUAGCUGACUCUAGUUUGAGGAGCUGUAGUUGCAUCCUGAGUCCUGGAGCAUAGAGAUAACGGUUAACACGUCAAACAUUGAUGAAUUAAUGAAUAAGACUAGCGCUGGUUGCAGUUGCACCACAUCAAUCAAUAAAGUGACAAGCAUUAGUUGACUACCUUGGAGAUCAGCGCUAACACUCUCAAAGCAUUCCGAACUCGAUGAAACAUCAUCAUCAUCGAAAGAAGCUUCUAGAACUGAAACUGGACUUGGUUGAUCUCCUUCCUUUGAGCUUUCACGAGACUGUUGUUCAGGAACCGAAGAAUGAUUUACAUCCUCAGUUGCCAUCCUUGAGACAUCCUAGAACAACACUGAACAGUUAGUUACGUGUUAUAACAAACAUGUAUCCAUGAUCUUGAAACAUGACGUUCACUUACAGGGUCAGUUAACAAAGUGACAGUUGACAAAUCUGGAGCUUCGGAAGACAAUGCCGUCUUAAUAUCAUCCGUCGCUGAACUAUCCUCAGUGUCUGAAUCUGCAUCUACUGAGAAACUGCAACCUGCUUUAGAAGAAGAGAGCUUCCCCUUUUGAUGAAUCUCGUGGUUCAUAUAAAGAAACUUGGUUAAACUUGGGCUCCUGUUGACCUCUGGCGAACUAUUGUUUGAUGAAUGAGAUUUAUUACUACCAUGUCUAGAUGAUUUGGUUGACAUGAAAGACUGAGAAGAGCUCCCCUUCACUAAUCCAUCUCUACUAAUUAACUCCUUAGGAAGCACUAUUGUGUAACCAUAAGUGCUUUCCUGGUUCAUGAUGGUUUUGGAUUUUGAAAAACUUCUUGAAGAUGAUCCUUUCCAACCAUCUCUACUACUUAUUCCAACCGGUUCUGGCGAUUCAGACAACUGAGCAUUGCUCUCAACUCUUUUACUAAUCCCUUCUUCAAAACUGAGUCCGUUAAAACUUGCUGGCCUUGCCUCCCUAUCUGAAGUUGCAAGCAUCUCAGCUAAUGUGCCGCUUCUACUAAUUUCUAUCUCUUGCUCGUACUUGUGUGUCAUCUUCCAUCUCUCUGAGAGUCUCCUCUUGGCUUCCCUGCUCACAGAUGAUGUUGUUGAUGAUGAUGACUUGGAAGGCAAAGAUCUAUGGUAGUUCUUGCGGUUAAAGGCGGUUCUUGUUCUUGAAGUUACUGGCACUAGCUCUGAUUCACUUGCGGAAUCACUCCCUGAUGAGCUUUCAUCACCUGCGUAUCCUCUGAAUCCUGAAGCCUCAAAGCUCAUUGCACUACUACAGCUCCCCUUCCUUUGCCUAGACAUUAUUUUAGAAUAUUCUCCAGAAUCUCUAGAACUCCGUCUUGAAAGGCCGUUGUCUUCAUUACUUUUCUGCCUGACAUGAUUAAUGGUGCAUGGAAGAAGCCUACGAUCUGCUCUGAACUCAUCGGAAGAAGAGCUUGGCGAUGCAAAAGCUCUACCAGCAUAACGUGGCUCACCGAGGUUAGGUUUCAGAACAACAAUAUUGGUUGGCUGCAGCUCACUUCUCUUUCUCAGCUCCACAUUUGGUAAGUCAAGUGUGUCAUAAGAAGCAUGCCUAGUAUGAGAACCACCACCAUGCCGAUGAGGCUUCUUAUCUGGUUGACUGUAAUGUGGCUUGUGAGGUGUGGUUUGAAGAUCAUGCAGAUGUUUAGUGAAUAAAGAAUCUGGUUGCUGGAGAAACUUCAGUAAGAGGUCCUUGUUAGAGUCCAGAGCCUCAAGCGCAUCAUUAAACUCUUUAGAAUGACGAAGCUUCUCAUCCGUUGAUAAACGCUUAGCCUCCAUGAACUUCUGCCUUAUAAAAGCCAUCUCUGCCUGAGUGAGAUUAGCAGCUUUCACCCUCCCCUGGUGAUAUAAGUUUCCAUUCCCCUCUGCCCUCUUUGCAUCCAAAACCUCGAAAACAUCUUUAAACUUUUGCUCCUCCUUUGAGCUCCUUCUUGCCAGAGACUUAUUACCAUCACAAGAACUGCCUUGCUGAUUCUCCACAGGCUUUUGUUGCCUGUGGGAAGAGCUCUGAGGGGGCAAAACGUCGAGUCCCAUCAGUCUGGCUAUAAUGCUCGGUGAUCUCCUUUUAGGUUCUGUCUGCUUUGACAUUUCUUGAGCUAGCAAGCUUUUCAUUGGUAAUCCAGUUUUGGUUUGAUGAGCAGAAUCUUGAUGCAGCUACAAUAUGAGGAGGAAGAAGUCACUUUCAAACAACAAGCGGAACCAAAACAUCUCCAUCUCUCAAUGCUACUACAUAUAAUCUUAAAGAGUAUACAUACCUUGUUUUCAGUUAGAGCUUUCUCAAAGUGGAAAGAAUGAAACUGAGGAGAUGAUGAUCUUGGAGACUUGAGUUUGUGAGUCUGUUUCUUUCCUGAAAGAAAAUGAACUCGCUAAUGAGAUGACUUUUAAGUGUUGAUAAAUGAUGAUGAAAUUAACAUUACAAGGGAAGAAACUAAAAAGAAAAGAAAAUUUGGGAGACAAAAAGAGUAAUGUCAAGCACCAAAUGUGGGGGUGGUGAAGAACAUAAAAGCAAUAAUUAAGCAGUGAGGUUAAGUGCACUCAUUAAUAGUCAUUUACAUGUAAAAUUAGAAUCAUAACCAACCACUGUUGAAAGUAUUGAAUUUUUUAACACAAAAACAAACCAAAUCAUGAGAGAGGCUACCCAACAAACUUUUCCCUAAGAUUUUUUUUUCUUUUUCUUCUACUUUACUUUAUCAUAAAAGCAGCUAAUCUCAUCUUCUCUAACCACACUGCUUUAACUGUAGUUUUCCACAAGAAAAUAAAUUUACCAAUGCUUUUGUAUUCAUCUCUACAGCAAUUAACUUCUGGAACCAAUUACGGCAGUGAUAACCUUCAUUCAGAACCGACCAACCAAACAAAACUAAGUCUUAGAUGCUAUGUUUGGUUUCUCAAACAAAAAAUAAAAAUAAAUCGAACAACCCGAAGAAGUAACCAAACAAAACCAAGUACUAGAUGCUAUGUUUGGUUUCUAGAAAAUAAAAUCUCAAAACAAAAAAAAAAAUCAAAUCAAAUCGGUGCGUUUUUGCGUUUUCUCGUCAACUAAGAAAACACGAAAUGAGAGAGGGAGAGAGAGAGAGAAACCUUGAGGAGAAGUGGGCAGUGGCGAAGCUAAACGAUCUCUGGAACUGUGCUCAGAGAAUCUAUAUCUGCUCAUCUUUCACUCACUCCAAAUCAUUUCGCGGAGCUAGCUUGUGUUGAAACACGAAGAGACGUUGAAUCUAGAUCCGGUAAUUGAAGAAAGUUUAGAGUAAGAGAAUGCAAGCGAGUCUCAAUGACAAGAGGGAGAUCGAAUGAAUCCUAGAAAAAAUCAAAUGAUUGCAGAAAGAAAGUGAGAGAGGAAGAGGAAGAAGAAGUGGAGGCUUCCUUCGUAAUUUGAAAGUUCAAAAAUGUUAAAAUGAGAGGACAAAUUAAAACAACAUUUAAAUUAAAUAUUAUUAUUAUUAUUAUAGUAAUAAAUAAAAGGGAAGGUGUGAAUGGUGCGUGUUUGGUACUAUACUAAGAGCAUCAUUAUCCCUAUAACCCCAUUUGGGUUUCUUAAUAAAUUAUUUAAUAAUAAAAGUUAGUUAAGAAAUAUAGUUAAGAAACUUAUAAAUUUUAUGCUUUAUUGGGGGUUUCUUAAUUAAGGUUUUUAAAAAAAAAGUGCCAUAUAGAAAAUGUUUUUGAUUGUUUUGUGAAUAAAAUUUGUGAUCAAGAGAAGAAGAGAAAGUGAACUUGUUUUGAGUAAAAUGUGUUUACUCGUUUUGUAUGGUAAGAAGGAGGAGAAGGAACUUGAAAGUUGAGAGAGCUUCAAGUUAUAAAGAAAAAAAGAACAUGAGAAUGAAGAGAAAGAACAAAAGCUUAUUUAUACAAAACACAUUACGAGGUAUUAUUUUGCUCAAAUCACACAAUCACCUUAAGACACAAAACAACAAGACACAAAUCUGUGACAGAAAACAACAAGACAACGUUUGCUUAUAACAGAACAACAAAAACAAGACCAAGCCAUACGUUGUUAACUUAACAGAACAACAACAGGAUAACUUAAACGAGCAACAACAAGAAGGAGAACUCCAUUUCACAAAUCAGUCAAUUAUAGAUACAUGAGCAGGCGAGACAUCAAACCAUUAAAAAAAAAGAGGUCGAACAAAUCAGUCAAUUAUAUUUAUAAGCUACAUUAAUAAAAAAACGCAGCUUGCAACUACUUUGAGUGAUCUGCUCAUACAAUCCACUAUAAACCAACUUAGCAAAUAGCAGUUAAGAAGCUAAAGAGAGAGUCCCUUGACCGAAUACAUUUCAUCUACUAAUUCUCAUGUGGAGAGCAUGGUGGCUUACCGCCCAUUGUGAAAUCCACAGUUGGUUUGGUACAAGCAGGGUCUAAGCUUUGCUCUGUCACUUCCAUAAAUUGCUUUCUUAGCAGGAGGCGGCGCAUCAUUGCCUACAGAUAAAGGAAGGUAAAUUCUAUCUCCUACAUUCAAUGACUCCUUGGCUGCCACCUUCAAACAAUCAGUACCAUCAGUUCCUAAAAAAAACAGUUCUUAUCCUAACCAAGAGAUGACUAGAAGAAGACUUACCCUUUCAAUGACUCCUUGGCUGGCACCUUCAAGCAAUCAUCACCAUCGCAGCUCAUAGGCAUUUCUCUUCUAACCUGAAUCACAUUUACAAAUCACUUAUCUUGUAACUUUCACAGUUCGAUUGAAUCUACAAAAUACAAUCUCUUUAGCUGAAGUGACACGGACCUGUCUUAGACGAAAGAGUUUUUGUAGGAGGUUUAUAGGUAGGUCGGGACGGCAACGAAGAAUCCACCUUAAUGUCGUCGUUGAGCCAUCCGUUGAGUCUUUGACGAUGGAGUCUCCGCCCAAAGAGAGCUCCUUUCCUACGGCGGCGGCGUCAAUGGUGGGAGAGAAGGGAGGUAGAGUUGAUCAACCGAUUGAUCGCCAUUGUCGUUGGACAAAACAAAGAGAGAAGAAGAAGACUCGAGAAAAGAGAGAGAAAAAAUAAUAAUUUGAGGUUUGCUCACAUGCUGACAGGUGUGCUCUCUUUUAAGCUAAGGAUCGAUCUCAAAAAGUUCAGAAUAAGGAUCGGUAACUGCAUUUUAAUUUAGUUUUCAUUUAAUUAAAUGCUGUAAUUUGUUUAAAACCCCCCUUAAAAACCUGCGAUAAUGAUGGUCUAACUUACUGAGUUCUGUGCAUCCGUAAUUUACUGCCACUUGUCUCUCCUCUCCAUUCUGUUUCUUCCUCUCUUUUGUCGCACCCUCCUUUUAUUUUUUAUUUUUUUAAUACAACUAUCAACACAUUGGUGAAUUAUUUAACCCAAAAAAAACACUACUACUAAACUCAAGUUUGGUGUUUGUUUAUGUCCUGAAUCUUUUUAUAUUUUGCUUUCACUAAAAGGAUACAAUGUUUUCUGAAAUAUAAUAACUUCUUUAGGUGAACCGGUUUACGUAAUUUAAAAAGGUUGUUUCCUACAUUUCCUUCUUUAUUGCAUAUUUACAUUAUAAGUUAGUUGUCGACUUUGUGAAAAAAAAGAGGAGGAAAAUAAACGUACGAAAAAAGGAUAAGGCUUAUUGGCGAGACAUUCUUGCAUGUUUUUUUUUUUGCUUAAAAACAUUCUUGCAUGUUGAGCCAGAGUAUUCAUUUUACACGCAUCGCUUUUGUUUAGCCUUUUAAUUUAGUAGCCCUGAUCACAUAUCAUCCUUUCAGAAACUUAUCAGCCUUAUUAAUUAGAGUCAUAAAAAAGGAUUGGUUCCAAUAUAUACUCUAUUUAUUGGGAUUAUAAGUUGAACUGAAUCGAAAUUUAUCUAUUUUAACUUUGCUAAAGUCGGACAACAUUUUUUCUUCUUUAGUUAAAAAAAUAGUUUAAGAUGUUUUCACUCGAAUUCAUAAGAUAGAUUUUGUUGUCCUCUAACAUGUCAAUUAUAUGUAGCAUAAUUGUAGUUGUGCACUAGUUAUAGAGUAGAAAACUACGUAGUUUGUUAAAGCUCAACUGAAAAUUCGAUUCCUACUUUAAGCAAAGAUAUUUUAUAGUAUUAACGUUUAUAUUACCUCUAAUCCAAGUCAUGUACCUAGAAGUCUUCUUAAAUACUAUACUAGUAUGUGCUUACAGGAAAAGUUUAAACUUAUAAACUUUGACAAAUUAAGGAAGUAGUUCUUGAGCUCGCCAAAUAUGAAUAGCUAGAAAACGACAAAGAUCCUUGCAGCCUUCGCUAUCCAGGUAAUUAAUCCGACACAUUGCUCAAAAUAGGUUUAAUGACUGAAACAUUUUCCCAGAAAGAAGCCGUUAAAGUUACUUCGUAUCGGUUAGAUUAUAAAUUAACUACUAUAGUAUUGGUGUUUCAUCCUAAUGAUUUAAUUGCAAAUUGUUACAAGUAGCACAUUCACUAUGCAUUCAUUAACUGGGUUUACUGUUUCAGAACUAACACUGACAAAAUUAUUUCUGCUGAUCUCUUAUGUAUGAAAAUAUAUAUUCAAAAAUAGAGAAGAAUACUAAUUUUAUACAUAUGUAUGAAAAUAUAUAUUCAAAAUCAGACGGAAAAGAACAAAUUUGAAAGCAGAUGAAUCUUUAACUUUCGUUUUAUUCACAUAUCUCCCUUGAUUUAUGGUAUAGAUGAUAUAUUGCCUAUGUGCCUAGCCUACACACGUAAUCAUUACUUUUAUGAUUGUUAUUUUUACAAUCAAUAAAAACUGAAGUUUUUUUUUUUUGAAAAAGGAAACUGGAAUUUUUUUUAAUUUGGUAAUUCGAAAUAACAUGCGUUUUCUAACUUUUGUGUAAAGGUACCACUGCACUAAUUUGGAAUGUUUCCAAAGCUGCAAGAAAGGAUUGAAUUGGUAUUUAUCUUGUUAAGUAAAGAAAACAAAACGGUUUCUUCGUAAAAAACUUGGCCAUCUAUUCUAUAAGUUCGUCAAAAUAUUCGUAAAACAAGUAUAAAAUAAAAAAGUUCAGAAUCUGUCAUAGUAUAAUUUAUUGACUGUUUUGAGAAAACGUUGUUGAUAAAAAUCAAUGUUUAGGGUGUAACCUAAGAACAGCUCAGCUGCAUGGAAAACCUAAGAUUCUGUUAGUAAACCAGUACUCGCAAGUCAAUAAAGUAUCGCAGUAAAUAAUCCAUCUUAAAUAGUAUGUAAGCAAGUCGUAAUAUCUAAUUAUGAAAAAGUUUUCAGGCCUAGAAAAAGUAAUUAAAAUUAAACGGUAACAAGAAAAACUGUAAAAAAAAAGACAAGAAAAAGAAAAGUAAAGCAGAUUCCUUGACCUAUGUGAUAAUCGCUGAUCGUUAACACUAUUAUAGCGGUUAAUGCUUUCGAUCAUGUUAGUUAGGGUCAGCUAGAAAAUAUAGUAAGGUAAGAAAUAAACUGAACCAUAUACUCCAAAGAAAAAUUGUUAAUCAAAACAAAAGAUAUAUGACUUGGCAAAAAAAAAAUAUAGGACUAGAGUUUUGAUGAGAUUCACAUUAAAAUAACAUUUUAGUAAUUUUCGAUUACGUUUACUGUAAAUAGAUAACAUUUUUAUAUCUGUCAUGUCACGGAAUUUGUCUUUGCUUAUUAAUGUCAAACGUCCAUCCUCCAUGAAAAGAACAAGACAAACAUAAUCUGCUAAAUGUGACAAACAUAAUCUGUUCUUUUCGAACACUCAGAAUCUUGUUAGAUUUUGUUGUAUGUAACUAUUAUGCUAGAAUCUUUACAAAUCAAGUUAAUGGCAUGAGAAUAAAUUUUAGCAAAAUAUGUGAAAAGUGGAUAAAGGAAAUCUAUUACAUUAUAUACUUUGAAAUUCCUAAUCGCUUUACUCAUAAACGUCUCUAACGGCAGUUAUGGGUUUAUAGUGAUGUGUUUCUUCCAACGAUUAUAUUUCUCCAGUUUCUAGUGAUAUAUUUUUCCGCCGAUCUAAAAUCCAAGAAUAUCAAGCUAACAAAGAAGAGAAGAAUCGGUGUAUAAAAGAAGCAAUGAAACGGUGCAAGAGAAAAUGUUCGUAAAUAUUAAAUGAUUUGGGAAUUUCUUCAGUGAAUUAAGGCUUUUUCAGUUCAAAAAAAGAAAGAAAAGAAAUAAGGCUUUCGUAUCGAGAGCAGAGUGUAACUAAAUUCACUUCUUUAUAUGGGUUGUUGUAUUUAUGUAUUUGUUGUACUUAUUUAUGUAUGUAUAUGUUUGUACAGAUGAUCUUACCUAACGUUACUAUAGUCUCGUUGUACCAACUUUUGCAUCUGAAUUCAUAUCAAGAAACGAAGUUGAUGUUAAAAGAAUAAACUUCAGUGUGGUUUAAUUGUUUUUUUUUUUUACUUUCAAACAGCAGUAAAAUAUCGUAUCUGAAAAUUCUGUAAAAAUGUUUUUGAAAUAGAAAUUAUUUUUAAAAUUUUUAUCUUUAAACAGUCAUUUAUUUCUGUCGUGUCCAUGUUUUCAGUGAGAAUGCCAAUACUUAUAUGUUAAUCUUAGUAUUUCUAGUUGACAAAAAAAUACCAAUAUUUCUAAAUUAACUACAAAUCAACUAGCUUGCUACUCACUGAAGAGACUAAACCUUUUUUUACAAGACUGAACUUUGAAUACUAAGGGGGGUUAAUAUUUUACAAAUCAAUAUUUUUACAUCAAAAAUUUAAAAUAAUCAAACGAAAGUAACUAAGUUGGUGCAUUGGUGGUAGCCUGGUACGUUGCCAUUACUCCAAUGGUCGCUUUAGAUUACAAGGGUUUUACAUUAUAUACUAUAAGUUUAGUCAUUCGCUGAAGUCUCAUAUACUUUUAGCUUAGAUGACAUAUGUGUCGUGAUUAUAUUGUCUACCGUAAAGUCGUAGUCUGACAGAAAAGAGUUUAACGUGGUUUGAUGUUGUUAUAAUAACAGCUUAAUGAUUCAGAUGCAUCCCGAAUAAUAUCUAAUAUCAAUAAAAGAGAAGUAUGUCGUUUUACUAAAAUCCAAGCUACUAAAUUUGUUACGAGGGCAUCUCCAUCCCUACUCCAUUUUUUCCUCUAAAAUGGAGUAAAAGUGAAUAUGGAGUAAGAAAUGCUCCAACCCAACUCCAUAUCUCACUCCAUAAUGAAAUUUAUUCUAUAAAUGGAGUAAACUAUUUUUUGUUUGUUCAUCACUCCAUUAUGGAGUGUGAAAUAGAGUAGGGUUGGAGCAAUUUUACUUCAUUUUCACUUUUACUCCAUCUUGGAGGAAAAAAUGGAAUUUUACAUUGGAGAUGCUCUCAGAGUAGAAGUGAAACAAACCACUGUGAAAAAGUUGAAGAAAAGGCGAGAGGAGGAAGACGACAAUGUGAUUAAUUACUUGUUCAACUUAAUUUUUUAUUUUAUAAAAUUUUAAAUUUUAAUCCCAAAUAUCCACCCCUUGAGUCUAAACAAGUUUAAAUUAGUUAACUCUAAGAGUAUAAAUGUAUAUUUACCUGUUUAAUGAAAUAUUUUGGUCAUUUUGAUCCUUAAAGUUUAUAUUUGUGGCAAAAACUUUUUUAGUGCUAUUCUAAGGUAUUUCUUUUAAAUUUAUAUUAACAAAUAUAUAUAUACUAGAUUUUCUAUUUCAAUUUUUUAAAAAAAUAUUAUGACAUUAUCACUAAGCAAACAAAUUUAAUUUUUAAACAUAUUAAUAUAUUUUUUUUACAUUACUUUUCUAUCAAAAUCACUCUACUUUUUCCAUCAAAUAUGCAUUUAUCCCGUAAACCGUAGUUGAACCAUACUGCACUUUAGUUUUGCAGCGCUUAUAUUAUUAAAACCGUGGUUACCAUUCAGAUCCUAAAUCUACAAUGGUUAGGACCAUAUAUACAUGUUAUAAAACGAAAUAAUAUUUUAUUAAGUGGUUGACAUAGGAUAAGAAUAAUGGUUUGAAAAUAAUUUUUCUACAAAAAAGUAUCUCCAACCAAUUUCUAUAUUUUGCUUCUAUAAUAGCAUUUAAAAACAAAAUUAUUCUAUUUCAGCUCUAUUUUUUCCUGUAAAAUAGUGUUAUUUUUUUCUCUAUCUACAAAAGAAGAAAUAACACUCCUCUAGUUUUAAUUUAUAUGUAGGGAUUACUAUUUAGAGAAAUACAUUAGAGCAAAACGCAUCUCUAUUAUAGUAAAAAUAGCAUAAUACAUUAGAGAUAGUCUAUAAACAAAAAUAUAAUAUAUCAUUUUUACGAUUCUAGCUUCAUCAAUUUGUAAAAAGAUAAUAUUAAUCACUUCUAAUUUUAUCUGAUUUAACAUAAUUUUAAUUUGAGUUUAUCUAAGUUUAAUAAAAUUUGAUAAAAUUUGCAUUUUUAAAUAUAAUGUUUUUUGGAUAAAUUUUGUUUUUUUUUUCUGUUAAACAUCAAACCUAAAACUUUAAUAUAUUUGUAAGUAAAUUACUUAGAAUUUUAUUAAUAAUAAUAUUAUAUUAUUCAAUUUAAUUGUGAUAUGAGUUAUUACUAUACUUCAUAAAAAGUUUAAUUUAUAAAAGUAAAGUUACAAAUGUUACAAUCUAACUUGCUGUUGUGUCACAAUUUUUAAAAAUAAAGAUUGUCCUUUCUAUGAGAAUAAAUGUUGUAAUAACACAUCAACAAAUUUGAGGACGUCACUUUGUUCACAGAAUCCUACGGUUGAAUACUAUGAAAAAUCAUACACCUAAAUUUUUUUCUUCUUCUAAUUAUAUAAGGGUAUUCUAGCUCCACAUAAGUGGUCCAAACUAGUCAUGUAUUGUCUCGUGUCAGUCUCAUAUCCUUGGUGAUGCCGAAAUAUUAAUUUCUCAGUGACCAUGAUUCGAACCCUGGUGGUUUCACCGUAUUAGGCUUUUGCCCUUAAGUUAAUCACUACCGAAACACAGAUCCUGCUUCACUUAAAAGUUUUUGUCUAAUUAGUUUUUUGUUAACCGAAACAUUUCAAUCAAUGUUCAGACAACCAAAUGAAUCAAUCAUUUGACUAAUUUCUCUAUCGGUUGAUGGGAUUGUGGGGACCUAACUUAGGCAAAAAAUCAAGCACGAACAUGGGCUAUUGAACAUAGCAUUUAUAAACUUCAACUACAGAAAAAGAUGAAGAAGAUCAUCGUUUGUGAUUGUCAAAAAUGUGGUCCAGAUAUGACAACUUCAUAGAGGAAGGAGAUCUCUAUCAUACUUAUGACUCAUUUAUAAAUCACGACUUGGCCAUUCUAGGCAUAUUACCUGAUCAUUAUCCACAACCAGGAAUUCAAGCAAUAAAAGCAUUAGAGUUUCGGUUUGAUAGUAAGAACUAAGAACAUUGAUUUUGAAACAUUGUAGUUUAUGAUUUAAAUACAUGUUAGUUUUUCACAGGAUUGAGCAUUCUACUCUCACAAAACCCGAAUCAGAACAGAUCAAAAAUUAUAUGUUCUGUUCGGCCAAGUCUAAGAUAAAAUACCUAUUAGGUAAAAUAAUUUACAUACAUAUCUUGUUUCAGGUCUAUGUCCUACCCAAGAUCCCAUCAAAUAUUUGAAAUACUCAAAAUUUCCUGUAUAUAUUAGUUAUGUUUGAGUAUUAUAGUAUAUUUUUCAGGUUAAAGUUUGCGGUCAUGGUCUCAAGUUUAGGGUAAAAUUUCAUAUUUUCAGAAAUACAAUUCGGGUAUUCGGGUAAAUGUCUUUGUAGUUUCGACAGAUUUUGGAUUAAAUUUGGGGUAUUUGAAUAUUUUUAGCUAUUUUCGAGUUUUUGGAUCCAAUUAGAACAAGAGAUUCGGAUACUGUUUGAACAAACAUUCCAAUGAUUCCCAAAGUUACAUGUGUGUUGAUGGACUAGUAACAACAUGCAACCAUAAAGAAAAUAAGACGACGAAAGAGUUAGAACCUCUGGUCUAGGAUUCACACAUCAUCUCAGCUUCUCUUCUCCACUCAAUGGAAGAUUUGAGCGUCCCAGAUGAAAUGAGUGACUAGUCUUAUGUCAUAGAGUACUUUUCUAGCAAAUGAACAAUGCCUAAGCAUCAUCUAGACCAUGUGUCAAGUAAACUAGUUUUGCCAACUAGUUUUGUUUAUUUUCAAGAUAAUGAACAAUGAUGUAUCUAAGCAUCGUCUAGACCAUGUGCACAGGAGAUUGUGAUUCAAAUCCAAGUGUUCAACUUAUGAUCCUUGUAAAAACCAACUAAACAAACAUCUACGAGAAAGCAUCAAAAUCAACUAAACAUUAUUCAUCUCAAUAUGAUCCACCAAAACAAAUCAACUCUCUGAUCCAGCCAUCUCGCGCUGCGUCUUCUCUGAGAAAAGCUUGGAAGCAAUCAAAUUAUCCAUGAAAUACUCUCUGUAAGGAUGAUUCUCAGGCACAAGUUCUCUAAACUUAUCAAACUGUUCCUCUGCUUUAUCUUUCUUCUUCAGCAACAUGUAUAUAACUCCUUGACAAAGAUACGGUCUGAAAUCUCCUGGCUCUUCUUUCACAAGCUCUCGAUAAAGCUUCAAUGCUUCACUAUGCUUCCCUUCAAUCACCCGAAUCUGCGCCAAAAGAAGCUUAAAAUCUCGAAAAUCGUUGUGAUUAUUCUCCUUCUUGCAUCCCAGCAUUGCUUCUUCGAUUCUACUCUCCACCUCUUUCAAGUCCAGGCCUGCAUCUGAGUAAGCCAUGACCAAGCCGUGAUAAGCUUCGACGCGAAGAGGGUCCUUAGCAAGAAUCUCUUCGAAUGAAGCUGUAGCUGAGUCUAUCUCUCCACUGUAUGUAAAGAUGUUAGCUUUAAGGACAGGCCAUUCUGGUUCUUCUGGUUCUAGUUUGAUCAAACGGUCGACUACUUCUACCGCUUCUGUGAGUUUUCGAGAUCUGAUCUUUACCUCCAUUAAGGAACGAAGAGAGUCUACGUCAGGAGGGUGAGUUGCUAAAUGCUCUUCAAGCGCUCUCUCCUCUUCUUCCAAGGUCAUGUGUUCUUUGCUUUCCGUUGACGGAGGAGGCGCGACGGGAGCUGCAAUCGCCGGAGGUUUGAGCCGGAGGUUGACGAAGAGGAGGGCGGCGGCGGUUGUUAGAGUGAUGCAUGUGGACUUGAAGAGGCGGAAAGGUGUGGACUUGUGGAGAGGGGUGAUAGGGUUUUGGGAUUUGGAGGAGGAAGCUUUGAUUGGAGUGUGUUUGAAAGAGGAGUUUGGUCGGAUUAAUGGUCUGAAGGGGGGAAAUGAUGGGUGUUUCGGGAAGGAAAGGUGAAAUGGCUGUAAUCUUCCCAGAGACUCCAUUAUCGAGAUAAACCUUGUCCCUUCAAAACCCUAUUCAGUAAGGAGAUAGCUGAGGAAGAAGAUGAUGAAGCUUUUCCAUCCGUAAUACGCCACCGUUUUAUCUCUCGUGGGCCUCAGUUUCCCGCUGAACGGAUCCAUACGGGCCCUAAUAUAGGUUUCGAUCGGAUACUUGUUUGGAUCUCUUUCUCUACUACAACUUGUAUAAAGAGUUGUUGAUAGUUGUCGCAUUCAAUCACCCAGACAUCAUGAAGCUGCAUAAUAUGCAAGAUGAACACACUGACUAUCACACUGACUUUGAGGUGUAAAGUAACUGUAAUAACUCUUUUCAAACAGCCACCGAACGACAACCUUGGUCGUGGUCGGAAGAUGAACACAAGAAACAAACACAACAACAGACUGAAAAAACAAGCAAGGGAAAUGACUUUCUCUCUUUUUUUUCAUUUCUAUACAUGAAGAUAUAAACCAGAAACUGCAGAUUUUUAUGCAAACAUUAAUCUGCAGUUUCUUCUUUUUUUUUUUUUUUUAGUUCUUGUGGUUAUAUAAAAAUGGAUGAGGGUUUUGGUUAAAGGGAAUACUUUGUUCCCGGCUUCUUGUGAAGAAGGGAUGGUUCAGUGCUUCCCUUGCCUUGAGCCUCUCCGUUGGAUCAUAUCUCAGCAGCCCUAGUAACAGAUCUAUCAGAUCACCCGCCGAGUGAUCCACGUGCUGCAUUAUCAGAUUCUGCAAAAACAAUGGUGUCACUAAUUUCAACGUUGCAGAGCAGCCAAUGUCAAGUCCGAAGUUACUGAGAAAUUAUUUACCGGUAACCGGGGAAGUUUCCACACUGCUUUUAAGCUGUCUCUUGAUGUCGCACCUUCAGGCCAGUCUAACUUUGCGCCUCGUCUGAAGUAUCUGUCAGAGCGCCGGCUGCAAGAACAAUUUUGAUUUUGAUAUAACAAACUAACAGUUUUCAAUUUCAUUCUGGAUGAACUUCUUGUUCUUACUCGGCUCUCAGCACCAUAUGAGGCGGUAAUGGUCCUAGGACCCUUUCCAUCAUGGCCAGAUGCUCCAAGUUUUCAUGCGUUUGGAAAAGUGCCUCUCCCUGCAAGAAUUCAUACACAAGAAACAUCUGCUGAGAUAUGAAUACUGGUGUACAGAAUAACAUGAAGAGAGAAAGUUACUCACCGAACAAAGUUCAACAAGUAUGCAACCGAUACUCCACAGGUCACAUGGAUAGUUCCAUCCAACCCCUGCGAUAAUGUUUCAAUAUAUUAAAUAUCGACAGCUAUGCAAACAAAAUAUUAUUUAUACAGAUAGUUAAAAGUCAUAAAAGUUUACCUAGGAUAACUUCUGGUGCGCGGUAAUGCCUUGUGGAUACGAUAUGGUUAUGGUCUUGAUGUUCAAGCGUUGUACUUCCAAAAUCAAUGAGCUUGAUGGCACUUGACUUUGGCAGAUUCUUAAAGUAUGAACCGUCUCUCGUGGGUCGUGAUAGAAACUAGAUUUUCAUGAGCACAAAGGAAACAAAGUCAACCAAAUUGAGUUAUACAAGUUCCUUCAUGAAUCCAUAUCACAUAAGCCAUGAACCUAGAUGCGUUUAGCUUGGAGAUGAUUGAAUACUCACCUUAUAAUCAGGUAUUUUGAUAUAUUCAGACGACACCAGAAGAAUGUUCUCCGGCUUCAAAUCUGUGUGAAUCAGCCGCAAGUCGUGCAUAUCUGUCAAAAGAAUGAACAAAGUCUGAGUACACUGGUAUGGUAAACAAAAAUCUCAAGACAUUGCAGUUGGAGCAAUUUGGAUUAAGGAAUAACUAACUACUACUAAUGCUUAAGUCUUAUAUCAAAAAGUUUCAGAAAGUAAAAUGAUUAAAUUUCUUAGCACUAAUGGACAACUAUAUAGAAGAAUGGGUAAAGAAUAGUCCACACACAUGCUACAGACUCCAAAAGUUGUCGGCCAAGCUCCCGAACAAGGUCAAUAGGAAAUGAACGGUAACUAUUUUUGCGGAGAAAGUCAUAUAAGCUCGGUCCAAGCUUCUCAAAUACCUGUUGAAACCAUUUAAACCCAUCCGCAAGUUCUUCUGAUCUCAAACUUAUCAAACAAAAGGUAACAAGUACUUACAAUACAAAUAUGAUUACGAUAGUCAAACCAAUUCCGUAUUUGCACACAACUGCAAGGAAUGGAAGAGCUUAUACCAAAAUGCAAUAAAGUACUAACCACGAAUUAUAGAAAGAGGAAAGAAAUAUCCUUACCGAGAACCACCAACAUCAUGCCUUGAAAGCCUUUGCAGCACGUCAAUUUCAAUCAUGGCAGCUUCACGAUACUUGGGUACGGACCGUAUAACUUUAAUCGCCACAGCUUCUUUGUGUUUAUCAUCAAAACAUUCCAGUACUUGUCCAAAUGUACCUGCAAGAAUACAAUCCAUUUGAUGAUGAAAUUACUAAUCUUCUCCAUACCGAACAGAGAAGAAAAAAACAUAUAUCCAGAGAGGUAAACUAACCUUCACCCAUUUUGCUGAGGAUUUGAUCUGCAUUCACAACAGAAGAGGGGCAGUUAACCUCCAUCCAUGGAUAGGGUUGAUGAUGAAACAGAUAAGAUGACGAAAGACUCACAUCGUGGAGUUAAAGUGUCUCCAACCACAAAGGAAAAGUGGCCGUCUUUAUCAUCUGGUCUCCAGGGAGGAGAGCCCUGACGAGGAAGGCCGUUAUAAAACAUGUUUGGGUAACCAAAACUGGGAACUACUCCACUCGCAAACUCAGGACCAUAGUACAACGGAGGAUGAAACACCUGAAAAGAAGAUGCAAAGACUUAGCUCGAGCAAACACAAAAACAAAAAAAAAGAUGGAAACUUUUUAAGCAGUCCCAAUUGAGUAAAAGAAUAGCUUUUUGAUAUAUAUGUGGACAAGUCGUUACCGAGGAUGGUGGAGGAAGAGGAGGAGGAGCAUCCCAAGCUAACCGAGGCCGUUUCCUCGGACGCUUAUCGACGUUCCUAUGUGGGAACUCAACGUUCCUCCGAGUUUCCAAGAUCAUGGCGAUCGAGCUAGCUUUCUCACGAUGCACACUGCUUUGCAUUAAUGGGUUAUUAUUAUAAUUGCAAAUCCUGAGCUGAAAUCAAAAACCCAAGGGAUGAUUGUGGAUGAAUUCGAAUCGAAUUAAGGAGAUUAGAUUCUGAAAUUCGAAAACCCUAAAUAAUCUAUAAAAAAAGCAUAAAGUAAUGCAGCAAAGAAACUAACCGUAAAUCUCUAUCUCUCUCAAAGAUUGAAUCUACGGGAGUUUAGAUCGGAGAUACGGAAUGAUCUUCACUCAAUUGUAGCUGGCGAAUCAAAAAUCUCAGGGGAAAAUAUUUGACAGCGACAGAGACUGAAACGAAAUGAUGAGAGAGAGAAGGAAGAGGUAGGAGACGGCGAAGGAGAGAGAGAGAUGGGCUUUACAAAGUUUUCAGUGGGCUUCUGUUACCGGGCCUUUAAAAAAAAUAUCUGACUUACAAAAACGACAUGAAGUUUAUGAUGUCCAAGUAAAGAGACAACGCAGAGUUUAGUCAUCAAACGUCAAAACAUCACGAUGUUCUCUUCAAAUACUCCCAAUAAGGAGUAAGUUGCAACAGAGAGAGAGAGAAAAAAGUCAGAAGCAACAAUGGAGAUAGCCGCCGUUAACACCGUCUCCGUCGCGCCGCAAACGCGCCUACUCUCAAACACCUUCUCCAGGAAGCUAGGUUCCGUCUCUUCUCUUUCUCUCCGUUCCAUCGAGAGAGAACAUCGCGUUGGGAGCGCUAGGCUUCGCGUGUCUGCAGCCUCCUCCUCCUCCUCAAUGGACGCCGUCACCGCCGAGAAAAUAACGCCGGCGAGUUUUCUCGAGAACAGAGAGUCCAAAAAAGUUCUCCAUUUCGUGAAGUAUCACGGUCUCGGCAAUGACUUCAUUUUGGUAACUUUAGUUUCCGUCAAUACACGGUUCCAAUCCCAAUGCACGGUUUCAAAAGAUGAAGACUUUUCUUUUCUUGUCAGGUGGAUAACAGAGACUCAUCGGAACCUAAGAUCACUCAAGAGCAGGCGGCGAAGCUCUGCGAUCGGAACUUCGGUGUUGGUGCUGAUGGAGUUAUCUUUGCAAUGCCGGGAGUCAAUGGUGCUGAUUACACAAUGAGGAUAUUCAAUUCAGAUGGAAGUGAACCAGAGGUGGGCCUUUUUUGCGAUAAGAUAUGUUUUUGAGUGAGUUCUUGAAAGUCAACGGCUUUUUGGUUUUGUUAUUGUAGAUGUGUGGUAAUGGAGUUAGAUGCUUUGCAAGGUUCAUUGCUGAGCUUGAGAACUUGCAGGGGAAGCAUAGGUAUCUUUUUUAUCUGUAUCGCAGAAACAUGUUCUGACCAUUAGUCAUACUUGCUUGCUAUUAAUCUCUCUGAUGUCUUUUUUGGGUAGUUUUACAAUGCAUACCGGAGCUGGCCUGAUUGUUCCUGAAAUUCAAGAUGAUGGACAGGUAAAAUCAUUUGGAUGAUGGGCUCUUUAUCUCGUUGUUUACUGGAUUGUGAUUGAACAGGUUAAGGUUGACAUGGGGAUACCGAUUCUAAAAGCACAAGAUGUGCCCACCAAGUUGCCUGGGACCAAAGGUGAAGCUGUUGUUCAGGCGGAACUAGUUGUUGAUGGAGUCACCUGGAAUGUGACUUGUGUUAGUAUGGGCAAUCCUCACUGUAUCACGUUUGGUACAAAGGGUGGACCGGUGCGUUGGUUUGCGUUCCUAGACUCUUAUUAUUCUUCGACGUAUGGAGUUUCUCACCGUUUGUAAUUUUACUCUUGUGUCAAACCAGAAUCUGAAGGUUGAUGAUUUAAACUUGCAAGAGAUUGGUCCAAAGUUUGAGCAUCAUGAAAUGUUUCCAGCUCGAACUAACACAGGUUUGUGGAGAUUAAUUCUCUAUCGUAUCUUGAGUUUAUAUCUCUUACGGUUGUCUUACAAUUCUUUGCGUUUUAUCUGCAGAGUUUGUGGAAGUUUUGUCACGUUCUCAUUUGAAAAUGCGUGUCUGGGAGCGCGGAGCAGGUCACCUAAUCGUUCAAACUAACUUCUCUGUCAAAUUAUCAGCACUCUAUGUUUCCUUAAAAGCUUAAACAUACUGCAGGAGCAACUUUGGCAUGUGGAACUGGAGCUUGCGCUCUGGUUGUUGCAGCAGUCCUUGAAGGUCGAGCCAACAGGGUAAGUUUCGAAUUUGAGAACUAAAAGAACUGGAUACCAGUUUCGUAAUUUGAUAAUAUGAUCAGAUUAUACAAUAGUAUGCAGCUCCUAGUCUUCCAUAUAAUAUAUACAUGAAAUGAAGCAUGAUAGUUUAGAGAAACCGACGUUGUGCUAGAUAAACUGAUUGGUUUUCCUUUUUGUAUGCACAUUUGAGUUUAAAUAAGCUUCACAGUUCACACAUGUGAAUUGUGAAGUAGCGGGGAGGGAGUUUGUUUUCUUAAUCAUAGGUUUAGCCGAGGGGACAAGGGUUAUACACCGUGUUGGGAUCCUUUCCGGAUCUUUUGGCAAGAGUUGAUCUCUUGUGGGAGAAAGAACCUUGUAUUCCUUUUGUUAUAUCUAUCAGUAAAGAGUUAUGCGUUCUUAAUCUUUUUGGGAUCACGAGCUGAGAUUUGCUGCAUGGGAUAUGUAACCUCGAGCUUUGUAUUGGUCAUGGUGAAACAGAAAUGCACGGUGGAUCUGCCGGGCGGACCACUGGAGAUAGAGUGGAGGCAGGAGGACAACCAUAUCUACAUGACGGGUCCUGCGGAAGCUGUCUUCUACGGAUCAGCACUGCUCUAAGUGUUCACGGUCAUUGACUUGUCUCUCACCCUUGUUAAGACUUAAGAUUGUGUUUCAUUGGAACUGAUUCAUGGAUAUUGUUUAUGUACUUGUGUUGUUUUCGGGGUUUCAGAGUAAAAUUCCAAACCUUCUGAGUAUGUGCGUUUAUGUUCAUAGAUUUAAAACACUGUUCUCUCACUCACUCUGCUUACCGGUAAGGUUAAACUUGUACAUGUGCAGACUAUUAUCAAAAGUCAUAAGCGAUGCCACUGGAUCGAGAUCAAGUUUUAAUGUUUAUUAAUUAAGUUAUUACAAACUAUAAAAAUCUUGCAUAGACGAUUUCUAUAAUCAACAAUUUUUACUAAUUUUAUGAAAAUUCACGUCUAAUUGUGCUACUUUAUAACGUUUUUUUACUAAAUUCAUGCAUCACAACACUUUUUGUACUAUGGUGAAGAUGUUUUGUAAGUUUUUUUUCAUUGAUUUACAAAUUGGCGCACUCACUCAUGAUAUGGAAACUUUUAUUCAAACCACUGAAAUAAAAACACUUCCACAUCAUUUAUCUAUGGGCAAUUGUCAAUAAUAGCACCUUUUGAAGUUUAUGUCACAAAAAGAGCACUAGAAGGAGAAAGUCACAAAAAUGACAUUCAUUAAAGGGUAAAAUGUCCCUAAUAUCCUUGGUUUAAAUUAAAUAAACAAACAAAAAUAAAUAAAAAAAUAAAAAAAAAAAUAAAAAAAUAAAAAAAAAUAAAAAAAUAAAAAAAAAUAAAAAAAUUAAAAAAAUUAAAAAAAAAUUUAUAGUUUCAGAUUAUAUGUUUUCAGAUUCGAAAUUUUUAUAAUUUUUUUUAAAAAAAAAUUUUGAAUUUUUUUUUAUUUUUUUUUUCAAAUUUUCUUUUUAUAGUUUAAAAAUAAUUUUUGAAACUGUUUUAUAAAUUUUUAUUUUUUAUUUUAGUAUUUAUUUUUUAUAAAAUUUUAAACCCUAAUUCCAAAACCCCACCCCCUUAACUCUAAACCCUAAGGUUUGGAUUAAUUAACCCAAGGGUAUAAGUGUAUAUUUACCUCUUUAAUGAAACCUAUUUUUGUGACUUUGAGCCUUGAGUGCUACUUUGGGAACAAAAACUUGGUUUGGUGCUAUCCUAGUCUUUUUCUCUUUAUCUAUUGUAUUGUAUUUAAGUUAUAUUUUCAUAAAAUAGAUCAUAUAUAAAGUUAAAAUUCAAUAUCUAUGGCUUAUUUGAAAAAAAAAUAUAUUUUAAGGUAAAUCAGUUAUCUAAACAAAAUUUAAUGUUUUAAAAAAUUGUUGCAUCAUUUAAAGCAGAGAAAGGUGUAGAUAGGUCUCUCAAUAUCUGUAUUUAGAUCCAAAACAAAUACGAGUCGCAUCGUACUAAAUCCAAUUGAGACAAAAUCACCGAAUUUCUGACAACAAAAUCUUGGAUAUAUGUUUCGUGUAAACGUAAACUAUCUACUUGAAAGCUUAUUUAUUACAGUGAUGCUGAUAGUGAUACAUAAAGAAAAAGAGGUCAGUAAUACCAAAUGCUAAUGCGGAGAGCAAAAACAAAUACCUAUUAGAAGUUGGAAUUAAUCUGUGAGUGGAUUAUAACAAAACGUGAGCUAUCUACAAAUGUCUCGUUUGUCCAAAUAAAAAUCCAGUUGACUUUCAAAUUUCAACUCUUAAGUCUAAAAGUCUUCCAUCAUCUUAAUCCUGUUUAGCCGCUGCCAAUGCCAUGAUUCCAUCACUGAUGACGAUAUUUACGCAUGCAUGCAUGCAGUGUAGACUUCCAAUACGUAAUACAUUAUAGGGGUUUUUGCCAAAACUAACCCACAACUUGAUUUUAAUCCCAAACCUAUACUCAAACUUGAAUCAAAUGCAAAACUAACCUAAAAGCCUAGUGAAAUUACAGCUCAGCCCCUUGUGACCAAACAAAAAAACAGAAGCCAUUUUUACGAAUAUAGCCCCAGUAAAUCGUCUGAGUCGUCUGAGAUGUUGGAAGUCGUCUGGACGACUGAAGUGUAAGUCGUCUGGUACCAGUUUACUUUAAAAAUAAUUUAUAAAUCUUGUAAAAAAAUAUUUUGAUGCUUAAAAAAUAAAAAUCAAGUAAUUAUAAACAGUUUUAACUGAUAUAAAUUAAGAUAUGAUAAAAUUGAUUUGUUUUGAAGAUAGAUGAGUGGAAGUAGUGAAUCAUGAAAUACUUUGGUUUAGGAGUUUGGCAAACAUAUGUUGUAGUAUUGUAUGUAUUGUUAGG